CAGUAUGUAUCGUCGGAGUAGCUAGCCGAUGAAUUAGUAGCUGUAGUUCUUGACGAACAUGCCCUCCUUGGCCUCGGCGGCCUCGCCGUCGGAGGUGUACUUGCCGAGCUGCGCCAGCGAGUUGGCCUUGGCGCGCAGCAGCAGCGCGUCCUGCGCCGCCUUGACGUUCUCCGGCACGCCGCCCCACGUCUUGAGGCAGGUGUUCUGCAGCGCCCGCGCGUAGGAGAAGGACACGUGCCACGGGUUGGGCCCCUGGUUCAUGGCGUUGAGGUUCUGCGUCGCCUCCACCUCCGACUGCCCGCCGGAGAGGAACAUGAUGCCGGGGACGGAGGGCGGGAUGCGGCGGUGGAGGAGCUUCAGGGUGUACUCGGCGACCUGCUCCGGCGUGGCCCGGUCCUUAGCCUCGGCGCCCGGCGUCACCAUGGAUGGCUUGAGCAGGAUGCCCUCGAACAUGACGUUGUUCUCCGCCAUGGCGUAGAAGGUCUCGGCCCACACCUUCUGCGCCACCUCGAAGGUCCGCUCGAUGCCGUGCUCGCCGUCCAGCAGGAUCUCCGGCUCUACGAUCGGCACAAGUCCGUUGUCCUGCUCGGUCGAUUCCAUUCCAUCGGUGUUAGCUUUUAUUAAUUAGCUGGAUGAACUAUCUCCAUGGCUAGAAGCAAGCAAGAAGGCGUACCUGCGAGAUGGCGGCGUAGCGGGCGAGCCCCCAUGCGGCCUCCUUGACGGCGAGCUCGGAUGGCCCGUUGGGGAUGCUGACGACGGUGCGCCACUUGGCGAAUCGGGCGCCCUGCUGGUAGUAGGCGGCCUCGCGGGCGGCGAGGCCGUCGAGGCCCUGGCACCAGGACUCGUCGUUGGAGCCGGCGAGCGGGACGAGGCCCUUGUCGACCUUGAUCCCGGGCACGAUGCCCUGCUCGGUGAGGAUGUCGACGAUCCGGCGGCCGUCGACGGCGGACUGGUAGAGCGUCUCCUCGAAAAGGAUGGCGCCGGAGAUGUAGUUGCCCAGCCCCGGCGCGGUGACCAGCAGCGUCCUGUACGCCUGCCGGUUGGCCUCCGUGUUCUCCAGCCCGAUGGAUGCCAGCCGCUUCCCGCACGUCGCGUUCGACUCGUCCAUGGCCAGGAUGCCGCGCCCAGGCGACGCGAUCGUUUUCUGCAACUCACCAUGUCAUCAUUAUUUCUUUCAGCAAGCAAGAUGGCGAUAGUGACAGUUUCGAUCGGCCACUAGUGAAGAAACGACGAACGCACCGCUGUCUUGACGAGCUCAUCGGCGUAGGCGCUGGCGCGGACGACCACGGAGACGGUGACCGGCCGGGGCGCGGUGAGCUGCCUGGCGGCGCCCCAUUCCGACUUCUUGGGAAGGAAGGAGGACUUGAGCAGGGUAGCAGAGGCCAUCUUCUUCUUCCUCGAUGCUCUUGCUGUCUUCUGAAGUUCAGCUCAGCUCAGGCUGGCAGUGGCCUCAGGUUCACACCAGUGAACAACGAAUGGAGUGUCUCCUUCCUUGGGGUGAGAGCUGCAGCCACAUCACAUAUUUAAGGUUUCUGCCAGGUAAACCAGUGGUGGCUGGACAAGGGAAGGAAGGAUAAAAAGACAUGCGUUGUGAGGCUGAGGUUGCUGCCCUCUGGAUUUCAGUGGAUGGAGUGGCUGCUUCUCACUGGUUCCCAUGGUCUCUUCAAAAGAGUAGGACCAUGCACGGUUAUCACCUCCUUUUUGUUUUGUCCUGAUCCGGAUUCCUGAUUCUAGGGAAGAUCUUUUCUGUGAUUUCCAUCCCAUUUUAACUGUGUGCUGUAAAAAAAUGACAAAAAGUUCAGAGAAAAAGGGACAGCUCAACUCUGGAAUCUUCGUGGCAGCUCAACCAUGGGAUUGCCUGAAUGUUGCUGGCCUCAAAAUUUCAAUAAGGAUCCCAGUUUAUUAUAUAUAUAUCUAUAAAAAAAAAGGAUCCCGGCUUUGGGUGAUGAGGCUGACAGGGAGGUUUCUGUGGGCGCGCCAAACCAGCAACUGUUGCCCGUAGAUGCGCGCCUGCGGUGGACAUCCAUCCAUCGAUUCCCACGGUUUGUCAUCGUGGUUUUCGCAGAACGCCGCGGAUUUCUUGGGGGCUUCUGGUGAUGCCAACGGCUGCAGCUACGAGUUGUUUGUUGCCAUGCGCGGUGUGGAGAGCUCUGCAGGCAAGCAAUGGCGAUCCAGGGGCGUCCGGUCAUGUCGCGCUCCUGCAUAUCAUCUGUCACAACACAUGAGACAUUGAUCCACGUAUACGGAAAUGGACGAACUGUUCUAAUCUGUCGUCUACGGAAAUGGACGAACUGUUCCAAUCUUUCGUAUACGGAAAUGGACGAACUGUUCCAACCUGUCGUAUACGGGAAUAGACGAACUGUACCCAUCUUUCAUUGGUUGUAUUCAAGAAAUUACUGGAUGGAGAUACACAUGAUUCUUUCCUGGACAACCAGAGCAAAUACCUGACAAAUGAUUGUAACCAUCCCUGAUAUUGUAAUGUGAAAAACAGAGAUUUUGAGAAAUCAUCAAUAAGAAAUAGGUUUGUGAUGAGAACAUGUUUACAAAUGGAUUGGUAAUUCAAAUGGACAGAUCUAGAUGCCUACCUUAUAGGACAACGGCAGUGUACACUGGAAACAAAAAUCAGUAAUGGUACAAACCUGAGAAUUAUCAACAACAUUCAUGACAAGACAACAGGACUCCUAAGUAGCAUCAUAGCACCUAAAUUUUGUUACACUUGUACCAUAGUAUGCUCUUUCCACUAACUACUAGUACCACUGCAGAAAUUUAACAGCUUUUUGGUGGGCAUUGGUAAUAGAUCAACUGCUCAAUUGGCAUAUGGGAGCAUCUGGAAAGCAGAAUCCUCUGAUACCAAUUAGCUCUCAGCGGGCUUCAAAAGUUCACCAAGAUCCACAUGCAAGCUGUUCCUCAUGGUCCGCCUUCCUGCUCCACCAGCAUUGCCCUUUCUCAUCAUCGCCACAAACUCGCUAUAAUCAAUUUGUCCAUCCUGAAAAAUGAUGCAUAAUAAUGAGACAAUAGGACAAGUAUGGAGAAGGAUUCAAAGAACAAGAGGGGUUAAGAAGACCAACAUUGUUUUGAUCCACAUCUUUGAUCAUAUCCUCAAGAUGAACAUCAGAAAGACCAAACUGUUGGCAUGCUUGCGAGAGCUCAUCAAUUGUUAUGAAGCCACUCCCAUCCUUGUCAAAGAAUGCAAACGCUGACACCAAGCUUUCCUCCCUCUCCAGUUUAUUCAUGUGCAAUGUAGCUGCCAAGAACUCUCCAUAGUCAAUGGUUCCACUGUUGUCAAUAUCAGCCUGAUAUACAAGACAAACCCAGAUUACAAUCUCAACGGUCCAUACAAUCAAAGGCUGCUACAGUGCAUCUAUUUUAUGUGGACAAUAGACUCGACGCAAUAGUAGUACUUACUGCAUCCAUUAAAGCCUGGAUUUCAGGUUCCAUCAGAUCCGACCCCACCCUUUUCAGACCGUUCUUCAGUUCAUCAUAAGUUAUCGUCCCACUGUUGUCAGUAUCGAUCAUUUUGAACAACUCCUUUAAGCCCCCGAUCUCCUCCUCAGAUAGGCUUUCAGCAAUCACCUGCACGAACAAAAAGAUUCAUCUGAAAAGAUCAAUUUCCAUGGUCAUUGCACAUACCAUCACCUCUUAUUAAACAUUUGCAACCUUAUGCCAUGCCUGUUAUGCAAGAAACCAGUUAAUCUAGAGUUCAAGCAAACAAUAUUGUAAAACCCCAUAGUGAAAAACCGAGCAUUAGUUGUUUUAGAAUUGUGUCAGACACUUAAGCCAAAACAAAGAACCUCUUCUCUUCCAACAAAAAGAAUCUGUUUUGAAACUCCUGGUCCCUUCAUUCCUUGCAUCAGAUGACCACUGACCAUACUGCCCAUGAAACCUCCUUUCCCAAAAUCAAAUGCUUCCUAAUGCCCUUAUCUGAGAACACUUGGUCAAAUCCGGUGUGCCAUUGCUGCUACCAAUGCAACACAGCCCCAGAUCUUAGCAUUUACUGCUUCCUGUCACUAAUAUUGAAAUUGUCCUCCCGAAUCAACAAACAAACAAGGACAACAAGAGGUGAACAUGACCAAGGCAUUGUUGAACUAAGAGGGUGAUGGUAGCGUAGUCACCAAGGUGGGUCAAUGGGUGGAACUAGACAUGAGAUGUUGGCAGUGCAAACCCCACUCAAUCAAGCAAUAGAAGUGCACAGUUGUAAUGUGUAAAACAAUGAGGUCCAGUCGCUAACCAGUUUGCAGCUCACCACCAUACAGAUGCUCACCACCUACAGUCACUCACCUUUCUGACAUCUUACCGUUGCUACCAUUAGUGGCCUCCUGCUGCUAGUGUCAAGCAGUCUUUAGCCAUGGGUUCAAUGGCUUUUGUGGUCGGUAGUCAUAGAAUACCAUGGCUGGCAUCCAGGUCUCGCACUAGUGCAGCUGAAGGGAUUGGAGACAACAGGGUUGGAUCUGGGAGGACUGUUCUUUUGGAAAGAAACAGGUUCUGUGAAUUGUAUGAAAGGUGACAUGUAGGCCAGCUUUUUUGUUUAUUGGGACUGUGUGAGUGUGUGACAUCGAUGGUUGGUGUGGCAGAACUGCCAUUAAAAAGAACAGGUGGCUAAAUGACUGGUUUCAAAAGCUUUGGUUUUUAAGCAGAUGUGUGUAAAUUGGGCUUUCUAAAAAUUAAAGGGGACAAAUACAGAUUUAAAGUGCACAAAAAAUCCAGUUAACAUGGAAAACCAGGAGAAAGAGAAAGGAAAAGAUUCAUAUGAAGUUAACUUGAGUGCACAACACAGUAGGCAGUAAGGCAGUGUCAUAAUAGAAAUGACGCACUGACCGUAACAUUGCGGUACUGAAUUUCGUUUGCAACAUAAUCACACAUCAAUGGGAUAAAAGUUCUUAUUUGAGAAAAAUGAAGUUCUUCUUACCCUCAAUGCCAUCUUCUUAAGCUUGUUCAUUGCAGAAAAGUUUUUCAGCCUUGACAAAACAGCAGAAUCAAUAGGCUUAUCAGGUGCGACAGCAUCAUCAACAAUCCAUGGAUGACCUGGCAUAGUCAAUGUCACCAUGUUUAAUAAGAACGAACUUCCAUGACCCAGGAGCACAAGCAUGCAUACAGAAUCUCAGACAGAGAGAGGGAGGGCAUGUAGGCAGAAAACUUACAUAGAACCUCAUGAGCAGUCAAUCUCUUCGUAGGAUCCCGGAUAAGCAUCUUACGGACUAGAUCUUUAGCACUAUCAGAGAUACUUGGCCAUGGUUCAGAUUCCAAGUCAAGUUUGCCUCGCAAAAUCUGCCUGAAGAUUCCAGCUUCACUUUCUGAAAGGAGGGGGAAACAGGAAGAUUUUACAUAUGGAAACAUGCUAAUAUCAGUAAACGACAAUCAAUCUCAACGUAGAAAUUCAAUGGUUGGAAUAACAAACAAUUUACCUGCCCAGAAUGGGGGUACACCACAUAGCAAAAUAUACAGAAUAACUCCAGCACUCCAGACAUCAGCUUCUGGGCCAUAGCAUUUCUGGAGCACCUCAGGGGCAACAUAAUAGGGGCUACCAACAACGUCAGCAAAUUUGUCACCUGGAGAUAUAGCAAGGAAUAUCUUUCAGUGUGUGUUCUGUUAAUCACUUCAAGCAAAACAGAAUAAACCACAGCAUUAACUGAAGACUUCAUUAAACACUACUUUAACCACAACACCACAUUUGUCACAAAAUCUGUUACAGUUCUACGAGAGAAGACAGUUCUUGCCAUCAACCUUGAAAGGCUUAUUGGCCUAUUGCUAUUGACAAGUAUUCUAGUUGCAACGCAGAUUUAUUUGUCCCCAGUACUAAUAUAUACUAGUUCUCAUGUUAGCAACAUUUUGACAGGGAUUCUUUAUAUUCUAACAAAAUGAGCCACAUAUGGAAAUGAAAUGUUAACAUGCUUGCUGGUGUAUCAAAACUAUCUAUGAAGAGCAGUACUCCCUACCAAACCCAAUGCUAGCAGUUAGCGCGCAUACCAUUGCCGCAUCAAGUGAACCAAAUAGCAACAUUGUACAGCACAAAUAUUAAACGUCAGCACAAACAAUUGCACAGAUACGCACCGGGCUUGUAGAACACCGAUAGCCCAAAAUCAGUGGCCUUGAGCGGGGCAUCCUCUGCAGUGCUCGCGAAGAGGAAGUUCUCCGGCUUGAGGUCCCGGUGCAUGACGCCGAGCGAGUGGCAUCCCUCCACCACCCCGACGAUCGUCCUGAUGAGCUGCGCGGCGGCGCGCUCGCUGUAGUGUCCCUUGGCGACGAUGCGGUCGAAGAGCUCGCCGCCGGCGCAGAGCUCCAUGACGAGAUGCACGAAGAGCGCGUCCUCGUAGGCGCCGCGGAUGCGGACGACGUUGGGGUGCUCGGAAAGGUGGUGCAUGAUCUGGAUCUCGCGCCACACGUCCUCGUAGUCCUCGCGGCACAGCAGUUUGCGCUUGGGGAUGGAUUUGCAGGCGUACUCGGCGCCGUCCGCCUUGCCCACGCACUGGUACGUGGUGCCGAACUGCCCCUGCCCCAGCUUCUUCCCGAUGCGGUAGUGGUCGCGCACGUUGUCCGUCUUGUGCGGCAGCACCGACGCCGGCCGCCCCGCCGACCCCGUCGUCACCGGCGGCGGCAGCCGGGCGUGCGCAUUGGCGCCGCCCGCCUUUCCCCUGCCCGGGCCUUGCGGGUCCGGCUGCAUUUCCUUUCGCCGGCGGUGAUUCCUCCCCGGAUCAAGAACCGUAACCGUACGGACGGCCUGCCCUUCCUGGAAAAAACCGCGGCGAGGCUCGACGAAUUCGCACCGUCGACCAAUCAGAAAUGGAAACCUUUUCCAAUUCCGGCUACUAUUCUGGGAGCUUUCCGGGGAAAUCUACACGGAUUGGAACCGAAUAACUCGAAGGAUUGGAUCUUGGCGUGGGGGGCUCUCGCCUUUGGGGAUUCCUGGGGAAAUGGCCGACGAAUUGGGCGCGACAGAGGAGCUUUAGCGGAGGUUUAUGCGGCCGCGCAGGCCGAAGAACAGAGGAGAAACGCCAACAGGAAGGCGAAGAUGAGGAGCAACGGGAUUGCUCUGUUCUUCUCUCCCCUCUGGGAUUGAUGGAUUGGUUCCUGCGGGGGAUUUAAGGAGAGGUCACAUGCCAAGGUUGGAUUUUUCCUCCAUGUGAGGGUGGAAAUCUACACGGCUAGGUUUGGUGAUUGCUCGGGCCUUGGAUUGGGUCUACAAAUGGGAACGGAUCGCUAGGGCAUGUGGGGGAGCAUGUCGGUGGUUAUCGCCUUCGCCUCCCUUCGCGAGGAGAGAGCGCAGAGGGGGGAGGGGGGAGGAGAGAGGAGGAAGACAACGUGGUCGGAAACUACCCCUUUCCAUUACUUUUCUAUUUCUUUUAUUUAUUUAUCUAAUAGUUUAUCACUACAUUGUUGGAGCUUCUGUUUAAUAUACUAAAAUUUUUGUAUCAUCUUUUUAUACAAAUAUACUGAAGUUAUCUGAAAACUUGAAGGUCUAUUUAGGGCACCCUUAUUAUCAAAUUAAUCGUGGCACGUCGUCAGGAUUCGAAAUUAUUUCCAUAAUUUGUUUUCAGUUGGUAAGAUGCUACGUUAGCACAAUUAUCCAAUCCUACGAGGUGCCAAUAAUGGGAAAACUCAUCUACAACUAGUUCAUCAAUUAUGAUAGGCGUCGAUCACCAAAUUCCCAGCUUAUCCAAUUUGAGGCUGUGGGACUAUUGCUAUGCAGGACUGUAGGAGUAUGGCAAGAAACUCUCCAACCUCUCAAUGAGGCCUCCGUUCAAUUAGACUGAGAGCUCAUAUCUCACCGGGCCCUAUCAUGAUUGUUGAAGGCAAUGGCAUGCUAGUGCUACAAUACAAUAUGCACAUUUCUUCUAAUGAGUUGCCACUCUUUGGCACAUGUCCUUGUACAUUUUCACCGAUCAGACAUUGCAAUGUUUUCUUUCGUGAAAGUGGCUAGGUGUUAAAAAUAGUAAUCUUGUUGGGCCUGUUGAUUAAUUAAAACUUAUUUGACAAUGAAAGCCAACCUGCGCAAAGACGAAAAUGAAGCCCAUUUGCCAUGGCACUGGUAAGUCCUGACCUAUCUCGAAAGAUCAUUUCCGUGGGGGGUACCGUACUAUAGUGGUAUGGAACUACCACUUUUGCAGACGCAUAUCCUAAUGAUUCCUUUUAAAAUUUUGCAGAGAUGCAUGAGAAGGAAGGUGCCAAGACGUGCAAUGGGAUGAACACUAAUACUAAACAAAGACACAACACGCAUGUAUAAAAAUAAAAUCUAAAACGAUAGUGAAAGCCGUUCAUUUUCAAUGGGAUAACAUGCGUCCCCACUAACCACGCAUUGAUCUAAUGAUCUCCUUGUCGUCUUUGACUUUUUGCACCAAACUCUUGGGCAAGUCUUCCGACGAACAAAAGCGUUAGAAAACAUUGCAGAUAUGAUAGGACUCUGUCCAUAACCUUCUGAAAUUGAUGUUGCCUGCUUACACGAAUAAAAUGCCAAAUAAGCAUAGUGACCCGUCUUGAUUUCUGUUCAUGUAUACACUGUACUACAUUUGUCAAAUUAAUCUUCGAUGUUGCUCCAAGUUUUAAGCCAGCUAGUGUUCUAACAUGUUAAUCAUCAUUAGGCUUGCGGUCUCGUCUGUGUUCUUUUCCCUUUUGAAAUUAUAAUGCCAGGUGGCAAUAAUGAACAUAAAAAAACAAGAGCACAUUAUUUUGUGUGUCGAUCAUACCCAACAGUCAUGAUGUAAUUUAUUCCCCAUCAUCUCAUAGCCUCUUUUUAUUAAAAAAAAAAAGUGUGUCAAGUUAAACGAAUCGUGAUGCGGACAUUUGGAUAUCAUCUUGAUCGUCGUCUCUUCAAGGAAAACCAUAAUGCGAAUACUGGAGUGGUUGCUCGCAUUUUUUUUCUGAAUUUAUUUCAUGAAAAAGGAAUAGUUAUACCAUCUUCAUACAUAAAAGAAUUAUUAUUGUUUUAUUUUUUGAAAACAUAAGAGAAGAACCAAUGCUAUAGCCAUGACUCACAAAUUACAGGACGAAGCUGAUUUCAACGUAAGUGUAGAAUUUACUGUAAGAAUUACCACUUCUCUUUUGGAUUGGGGCAUUGGGCUGUGCAUUGGCAACUACGAGGCAGUCAGGUAGAGAUUAGUUAAAUAUCUAAUCACCGAUCAGUGUGAAUUAACUUUAUUAAUCUCCACUUGAACAAAGGUAGCCGACAUCAGCUUCGGCAAAGUAACAUAAACAAAGGGAAGCCAAGUCAGAACCAUUGCCUGUUCUCUGCGAGGGUUAGAGAGAAAAACAGCCAUUGCUAAAAGCAACAUGCCAUAUGAAUGGGUCAUGGAUUUAUCAGGAGGCACUGCCAAGAUCGUCAUGCCUCUCUUUUUUACGCUCAGGAAUCAUACCAAACCAUAUCAAGGAUAAAUUCUUUGCGCACAUGGCUCAACAGCAACAGAGAGAGCAAGAUAUGCUCUUUGGAGCUCUACUCUACAUUGCCACAAUUCCUUGCUUCAAAAAAACAUUACCAAAAGUCCAUUGUCAGUCAGAUUCAUGCUCACUAAUAUAUUUUUAACAUAUUUGACCGCGCAGUUUGCAAUCAGCCUAAUGGCCAAGUGGAGGAUGCUUUUUUUUAAGAGCAAUGCAAAUGGAGGAUUUUAUACAAAUUUGACCGGUCAAGCCUGAUGAAUCAUUCACAUGAUAGCUUCCUUUGACCAUAUGAUGCUAAGUUGCUAGCCACUGACCAAGAUUCAGAAAAUCGAAACCUGAUCUGGACAUGCUACGGUGUUGACAUUCCAGGAUAUUAUCAUGCGACUCCAGGAAAAACACAAAAUAAAUAUGAUAAAUGGUUCUCAUAAUCCUACAGCUGUCCUGUUCAUAGUGUUGAUCAGACCUUCAAACAUCUCUGAACAGCAUAAUUCAGCUCCCAGAAAAACAACCAGUGAUCCACUUGAUUCCACAGCUGUCCCAUAGAUUUAUUUUGCUCAGAAUCUAUAAACAAGUCUGCAGUCUUGUGUCUAAGGAUGAGGAGGAGAAGGAUAGAGAUCAGACUGUUCUCAUGGUUCCAUGAACCCCACCAACCAGCACAUUUCUUUCCAUGUGGGUUGCUGCAACCUUGGAUGAUCAUUGCCACAAGUGCAUCGAUGCAAUGGUACAUGCCCUUGACUGAUGCCAUUACACCCUGCCUCCUAGUGCACUGACAAUAACAGCCAGAUCAAAACAGGGGCAUAGGGUUUUGUUUGCAGUCACAUGCAAAAUUAUUCCUCUGGUUGCAGAAGUGAGAAGGGGACCAUGUAUGAUGGUCCUGGACUAAAAUGGAUCCUGCAACUCUAAUGAGGCUCAGCCCAACAAAAAAGUUUUUUUAGAGCUAAACAGGCUCUCCUGGAGCUCUAAAGAAAUAUCAAAUAUAGGUGGCUGCAUCAAUCCUAGACUAAGAUCGCAAUUUUAGGAGUGACUUUUUUUUAAUGUAUUUCAUAGCACUAUUGCAAGCCAGAUUUCCUGUCCUUAAGCCAGCAUUCUGCCAUAAGUCAACAGAAACAAAUAGCUUGCUUCAGAAACCUGGUUAUGGAGAACCAGUGGCCUCACCUCAGAUGAAGGCAACCCAAGUCCUACCUUUGAAUGCCAAUUGGAGAUUUUUAACACAUCACAUUAUGAACAAUAUAAGUAAUUUCAUGAGACACUGCACAGAUUACAAACAUAAUGUGGGUUCUUUCUCCCCUAGUUUGCAGAUGUGUAUAGUACAGUUUCUUGACUUCCAACUUGGAGUGAUAUUAUAUGACAUCAUACCUCCUCAAGUUUGAGUUAUUGAUUCUUGAGACAAAAGUUAACUGUUCCAGAUUUUUUUUCCUUCACUAACUUAAUUUAAGAUCCAGAUUGGCCUACAUAAGCAAGACUGUAGUUGCUUUUUCCUUUUUAAAAAAGAAUGUUGUUAUUUCAAAGCUUACGAAGGCAGUAAGUUUCCAGAGUUAUCGACAGUAUCCACAAAACAGAACAAGGGCACGAUAAAUAAAGUAAAAGGAGACAUGGUUUCAACACCACGCAUGUUUGUGGAGAAGACAUGACAGAGGAGAUUAAGCACACAACAGUAAGAGUUGAUCAUGCAUUGUGCAUGCCGGUGGUUUCAUUCUCUAAAUCAGAAGGUGUGAUAUACUGCCAUACAAGACCUAGUGUGCUACCCAUUAUGUUCAUGAUGACAGCUGAGAGUGCAGGUGGCAGGGAAACCAAGGGUGAGGAGAAAUGUGCAGCUGCUAACACUACCCCUAAGGACGAAUUUUGCAUUCCUACCUGCAAUCCAGAGAAAAAAGAAGGCCAUUGAACAUUUUUCAUCGUAUUCAAAUUAAGUCUCUUAAUCAUAAUUCUGAAAGACAAUCAGGUAGGAAGCAUUCUAAAAAAAUAAAACAUGGUCAAGGCAACAGAAUUAUGGUUUUAAGAUUUCUGAUACUAUGAUUGGAAUUUGUAACAGUCUGCCAGUACUAAUCCCUACAUUCACAAAUAAGUGAUGUUUUUAGACAACACGUGCAUGCAAAAAAAAAUUGCAGCAUUGUACACUAUUUUCAACAUAUACUUAUAAGGGCAAGUAAAUUUAUACACAUUAUGAAAGUACUUUUCAAGAUAUAAGGCCAAUAUGAACAGUGGUGGAGGGUAGUGGAGGCCAAAAGGGGCCAUGCACCCCCCUUCACCCCGGCAUUGAUGUGAAGCUCCGCUACUGAAUAUGAACAUUCAUAGGGACACCAAUAGCCCAAGUUUACGAUAUCCAAGUGCAUGCAUACCGAAAUGCCACUUAUUUUUUUACUAGAGCAGAAGGGUACUUGAGUCAUAGCCUCAUAGGAGAGGACUAAUUUACACAAUCUGUUGACUGAUAAUCUGAUGUUUGUGACUAGUCAGCUACUCAAUCCUCCCAAGUACUUUACACCUCUUAAUAUGAAAUGCUAGUGUGCUGGAAGACUUGCUUGGUUUGUUUAUUUUAUUAUACACAUGGUUUCAACAAUGAAUAUGCUUCUUCGUUUUACUGGUCAUAUUAAUUGGGAAAUAUGGUUAGAUCUGGUCAGGAUCCAUACCUCAAUUGAUAUUGCUCUCCUUUGUUUUUCUUUCAAACCACUUAUAGCUGCUGCUGUAUACCUGUUUGUUAUAGAGCCAACUAAACAAUUAGACAUCUGGAUGACAAAUGUCAGUAACUUGUAGCUUACUGAAUUUUGAUGGUUCACACCAAGUUCUGUUCUACUAUACUCUUUUUUUAAUGAAAAAAAACCAUAAGAUACAAAAUUUGUGAAUUGCAUCACACAUAAAAGGGUACAGUAUGCAUUCUUGUGCUCACCCAACAAAGAAACCAGCAAAAUGCAGCAAGGAGACAGAGAGCAUGACAACUCCGAUAUCCCCAGAGAAGAAGUUUCCAUUCACAGAAGAUGCAUCAGCAAUUGUUGAACUUAGGCGUACAAAAUUCUCAGAGAAGACACUGUAACAUUGAAAGAUAAAGGGUAAAAGGAUGCACGGUUUCUCCUAUUCCCAAGCCAAAAUAACAUGGCAAGUUUGAAGGAUCUGAACCUGCAAGCCAGAAGCGAUGAAGCCAAGACUGCCAUCAGAGGUGCAAAAGGAGUCACAAAUUGAACUAUCGAUGGGAAUGCUGUUUGUAUAGAAGAACCUAAUAGAAUUGGGGCAACAACCACCUGAAGAAGGAAAAAAGAUCAGAGACAGACAAAACUAACUAUGAGUAAAAUCUUGCUAUGAACUAAUGGCGUCAGAAAUUUCACCUGCAAAGUACUGAGAGAAAGCUUAACAGCAUCCACAGGAAUGUAAGCACCAGCUAGAACUUUUGUUAAGAGAGGGGUAAGGAACACAGCAGCAAGAGUGCUGCAGACAGUCAUCACGAUGGAUAACGGAACAUCGCCUUUAGCAACUAAAGUCACCUGAACCACUAUAGGAAACAAUUAGGUCAGUGCAUAGGAGGACACAUCUAGGAGAGAAGGAUCAUGAGGCAGAAAAACGGAACUGCUUAUAACUGUUAACAAAUCGAAACAAUUUUUCAAUUUUCCAGAAGUUUGGUAGCAUUGUCCUGUAAAUAGGUGAACAUGUACACUUCUGUAGGCAACAUAAAAAAGGAUCAAGUGUCAGUGCAUGUCGGAACAUCAGACGUUGGCUUCUCCAGAAGCUAAAACAACCAAGUACUCAACUCCCAUUUUUGUUUCAAAAAAAAAAGGUACUCAACUCCCAUUUCAAUGAACAAAUGCAUCUGAACUCUCAAUUGCAUAGCCAUUCUUAAUUUAGCCCUUCAAGCAAUCAGUUCACUUGAGUACAUAACUGGCAAAGUUAAGUUCACUAUAAAACAAUAAUACUAAAGGGGAAAUCCACACUCUUAAUAGAAAUACGGAGCGUGACAAACUGAAUUCAGCUGACAAUCUUACCACAUUGGAUGCAGUUCCACCAGGACAGCAUCCUAGCAGGAUAAGGCCUGCAGAGAGGGAUGGGGGGAGCCCCAGCGCGCGGCUAAUGAUCGCCCCAAACACAGGCAUUACGGUGUACUGCGCGGCGCACCCAAACAAUAUCUGCAGCACAGAGACGAACCAAGAUUGCAAUGGAUCGGCAAUUCGGCAUGGAGCAAAUGCCAUCAAUCAGAGGAUCAAGCUUCUAGGAAGCAAGGAAGGGAUGGGUUUGCACCGGUCACGUACGGAGAGGGGCCUGUCGCGGAGGAGUGCGGCGAAGUCCCUGAGGUUGAGGGUGAGGCCCAUGGCGAGCAUGAUGAAGCCGAGCGUGGCGGUGUACGACCCCGGCGCCAUGUCGACAAACCACCGGAACGCCUCGGGCCGCGCGACGGCGACGGAGGCGCCCGCCGUGACGUAGGCCGGGUACAGCCCGGCCGCCGUGGCAAGCGCCGCGUGCCACCGCGGCGCGGGCGGGGGCGCCGGCUCCGCGAGGCAUUGGACUCGUCGGAGGGCGGAGGGAAGGCGCCGGCGCUUGGUGAAGAGGAGAGGGAGACACGGCCGUGGCACCGGCCGGGAUACCGAUCUCGCGGACGGGAGGGGGCGGAGGGAUACGGGGAGGAGGAGGGGAGCCAUGGCGACGGUGCCGCGGCGGUUUGUCUUUAUCCGGUGCGCGCGCGGAGCGGUUGGGGGCGGCCACGACCGCACGAGUAAUAAAGUGUCAAAGUGAAGUGUAGCACAGAUUUUUAUGGCACGCAGCGUCCGAAGGCGGAUUUUUGGAAUCUACGUCUUCGCUGCGUCGAGGCUGGUUUCACGGCUCUUGCCUAGUGGGAAAGAAUCUACGUCUUCGUUUACUAUGCCCUGACCAAGCAAGCCGUGGAGUAGUGAUGAAAGAUGUCCAGGUAUACAAGUAUAGUAAGAUGUGUCCAUUUUGCUGAACUAUAUUGCUACAUGCAAAGACAGCGCAGUAGUGUUUGCCUCUUGAUGCCACGCUGCAUACAAAGUACGUUGGAAACCUCACUAGCCAUUUUGCUAGUUGAAUUGGCAUAUGGAGGAAAUUGCAUAUACUGAUACACAAUUCUGUUUUGCGAAAAAAAUGCAUACACAAUUCUAGCGUGAUACUCUAUAAACAUAACAUAAAGAGCCGCCUCUUCUGUUGAAUAACGGGCCGUAUCAGCGAUGAAAUUUUGUUUGCACAAGCACAAUAUUGAUCUAACUAAUGUGAAAUUUAUUUUCACAAUAUUGAUCUACCGCUGGAGUAGUCGGGUACAAAUAUUUCCCUCGCAUACGACGCCUAAUUAGCAUUGAGGUACACCGAGUUACUUAGAUCCUGUUUCUAAAAUUUUAGCUGGUUAAAUUUAACUACUAAGGAUCCAAACAGGUCCAUCUAAAACUCAGCUUAAACUUUAGCUACAACCCAGAAAUCUAACCUAGAAAUCUUGCGGUCCCCGCGAGAUUUUGAGCUAAACCACCUAAAAGUGGUGAAAGACCGUAGUAAUACCUAGUGUUCAGCGUACUUACCCACCGCCACUGCAGUAAAUGCUCCCCCCUCCCCCGUUCGCUCGAUCCCAUUAAAGAGGCAAACAGAGAAGAGCAGCAGGUCUUGGCACCCGGGAAAAUGAUGCUGGCGCCAACAAAUCGAGCAGAUGAAGGGGCAAUUAGAUGAAGGGUAGUAUGGUCACAAAUUAGCAAUUAGCUGGAGGAUCCAAACUUUAGCUAGUUAAAAAGGGCAUGUAUCGUUAAACUUUAGUUGGAGCGGAUCCAAAUAGGGUCUAAGAUUAUGUUGGGAGACCCCUGCUAAAAAUUACUCCCUUCAUUCCAAAUUAUGAGUCAUUUCAACUUUUUUGAAGAGAUAAAUUAUUUUAUGUUUAACUAAAAUUACAGAGAAGAUCACAAAAAAUUAUGACAGCGGAUAGAUAUACUAUGAAAAUAUAUUUAAUGAAGAAACUAAUGGUAACUAUUUAGUAUCAUGAAUGUUAGUACUUUAUUGUAUAAAUUUGGUCAAAUUUAAAAUAUUUUGACUGUCAAAAAAUUAGAAUAACUUAUAAUCUGAAAUGGAGGGGGUAACCGCUAAAAAUUAGCCGGCAGGCUCCAAACGGGGCAUCUAAAAGCCGUCUAAUUUUUAUCCAAGUGCCCAGCUCGUUAGCUGCUUCAGCCGAGCUAAAAGCAACUAAAAGCGACUAAAAGCUGCUCACGGAUGGACAAAGACCCAAAUGCCCUCACAUGCACAGCACAGGGAGGGGGGCAAGAGCGCCACACGGGGGACUAGGCUUUUUGCCUGGCUACCCUUUAGUCCAGGUUGGGAUGUUUGAAUAUGAGGUGUUAAACUUUAACAGUGUCAUAUCAGAUGUUCAGAUGCUAAUUAGGAGAAUUAAACAUGAGCUAAUUAUAAAACUAAUUGCAGAAUCCUGUGCUAAUUCGCGAGAUGAAUUUAUUAAGCCUAAUUAAUCCAUCAUUAGCAAAUAGUUACUGUAGCACUACAUUGUCAAAUCAUGGACUAAUUAGGCUUAAUAGAUUCGUCUCGCGAAUUACACUCCAUAUGUGGAAUUAAUUUUAUAAUCAGCCUAAAUUUAAUACUCCUAAUUAGUAUCCAAACAUCUGAUGUGACAUGUGUUAAAUUUUAACACCCUGUAUCAAACAGCUAUGCACUAAACUUAGCUAGCCAAACAAGGUAUAAGUGAAGUACACUAUACGCAGCUAGCAAACAGGGUCUAAGUGAAGUACACUAUAUGCAAAGGAUGGACACUUGCAUAAUCGAUCAUGUGAUGCCACUGUCAUAGGCAUCUGCGCACGCUCGUGUACUAAGGGUGUGUUUGGUUUGGAGACGAGAUGGGAUGGGACGAUCCUGUCCCCAUUUUCAUGGAUGGGACGGUUCCAUUUCAUGUUUGGUUGAGAAGGAUAAGUCCAUCCUAAUUUUUUAUUUGGCACGAGGGAUCGAGAGGAUGGGAUGGAUAACGAUUUUAACACCGUUAGACACAGUAAAUAGACCCCACCUGUCAAUGGACCCUAUUUGUCAUUGUCUAUCUAUUUUUUUCAAUUAUCUUCUUCCAUCUCCAUCUCCUCCUCCAUCCCCAGCUUGCUCGAGCCGCCAGUCGGGGAGCAGCUCGCUCGGCCACGCCAGCCGCACUCGAGCUGGCCCACGCCGCCCGUGAGCUCCAGCUCGCCCGCACUAGCCGUGUCAGAGGUGUCAGAGGUCACAUACCUGUGGCCGUUGCCGCUGACUCGAUUCACUCCGCCGUCGUCGAGAUCCAAGCUCGCCAGAGCUCGUCGCCGUGGGCCUCUGCUCGCCCCGCCGACCAUGGAGGGCGCCGCGGAGCUCACCCGCCGCCGGCCCUUCACGCUCGCCCCCGCCGACCCUUCCCGCGACUGCGUUGAAGUGGGACAAUCCUAUCCGCUCGUUUUGAGCCAAUUGAGUCGUCCCACAUCUGCACCGAAUAUUCCACUAUAAAUGGACUCGUCCUGUGCCUCCUAACCAAAUACUAGCCAAGACUAUCCUAUUCAAUCCCGUUCCAUCCUCGAAACCAAACACACGCUAAACAAAUCGAGCGAGCGGGCACGGGCAGCAGAGGCAGCAACGCAGGUGAGAGGUGAGGUGACGAGCAGCAGCCAAGAGGAUGGAUCGGGACUCUCGAGGUCGAGGGGGGCAAUUAUUUACCCCUCCCCCCCGCCUCAUCGUACCUGCCCCCGCCUUGGUCCCCGGCUCCUUCCUCCUCAUCGUACCUGCCCCCGGUUCAUGGUGACGACCUCCGCCGACGCCUGCUGCUCCUCCGGCUCAUCCUCUUUUGGUAUGUCACUGGCGACUCGCACGCUUGAGCUUGAGGCGAUUCCUUCCUGGCAAGGGUGUCUCGCUUUUGUUUUGCUUGAUUCUUCGAGAGGGCGUUAGUUCUGUCUUGAGAUCUCGACAAGAGGAACGGAUCGGAUGUUCUUGGUACAAUUAAGGAAAAUUUGGGUUUGCGACACUGAAAGAUCCAUGUUUUAGAAAUUUACCAGCGAACUGAUGUGGUACGCUUUAAUACCAUUGAAAAAGAUUCCACCUGUCAAGAAAUAUACCAUUCCGUGACAUUUUUCAUCCAUCCCACGUCAUCUCCGUUAUUUCCUGUUCAUCUUCUCCGUCUCUGGCGCAAGCGCCGCGCCCAGGUUGUUGGCGGCAGCCCGCAGGCCGCCGUGCCUCAACCUACUCAACCCAUGGCCACGCCUCACAUCAGCUCCACCUUGCCCCAUAGCCGCGCAACAGUUUGGCUUGGCCGCAGGCCGCCGCUCUGCCCGCGCAUCAACCCACUUCUUCGCCCCCAGCUCGGCUCGGCCACUGCGCCCAAGCUAGCUUCCAGCCAUGGCUGCCCCAGCUUGGCUACGCCAAAGUCCGCCGGGAGCCAACUGUGUCCCGUCACACGGCACCUCUCCCCGUCGGGCUCAAGUACAUUAUGUCACCUGCAGAGGAGCUGAAUGGAUUCGUGUUCCAUUGAGGAUGAAGCCGAUUUAGAGCUGGGCACUGAGGAUUUGCAGCUCGCUGCCUGCUACUGCUGUAGUACAUGCCAUGGCAAGGGAAUUAGAUCCUGCAGUGGCAGCACCCAGACCCAGCACGCAUCAGCAAGGGCCCUUCACUUCCUGACCAAUGAAAGCAGCAAGCACAUGCGGCUCGCCGGCUCCUCUGGUUUGGUUGGAGGGGGAGCAGCUCCUCCGUUCACUGGUUGGAGAGAGAAGAAAGGUUGAGAGCCAAACGGCAGAAGGAAGAGAAAUAGUGAAGAAACGGCAGUAUGGAUGGAAAACGUGACCGAGUGGUAAAAUUCUAAACGGCGACAUCUGUUGAUGGUAUUAAAGUGUACCGGAAUGAUUCGAUGAUAAAUUUCUAAAUCAUGAAUCUUUCGGUGUCACGAACCCAAUUUUUCCUACAAUUAAAGGUCCUGGUGUUCUUCUCCCAUCAAGGAGAUCGAUUGGCUUUAAGACGACCAAGCCUUUCACCCCCUUUCUUUUAUUAUUGUGCCGUCAAUUUUCGUGAAAUCUUUGGCUCCUCUGAACCAAAGAUGGCCCCUUUAUGCAAAGGUCAGUUUUUUUUCCUCCUACGAGGCUACAAGUACAUCAUAGUGUGCAGUAAUUAGUGGUGAAGUACGGUCUCUACCCAAACUACAAAUACUCCAGCUUGGAGUACAUCAUGGUCUCAUUAGUACGACCGCACUGCUUGGAGUGCUGAGCUAACUUGUUGGAUUAGUGGAGUGUUGGAAGUUUGGUACCAUUUAUCUUCAUCUGGCAACAAAACAAUCUGAGUAAUCAAAUAUGCUAAUUUCUUUGUUUGCUCCUCUCUUUGCCUUAGGACCUAACUCGUCAUCUGAAUUACACUUGAAAAUUUUAUAAGUACCUGCCUCAACCUCUUGGGCUGUGUUGAAAUUUUCUACAUGCUGUUUAUACCCAUCAAUCAGCUAAUACGUUGAGCCUAUAUAUGCACUCGAGCAUCUGCGAACCAUGAAUGCUCAAAUCUGCAGGUUGGUUGGUUCUAAUGGUCUUUCAUUUGAACUCUUCUUUUUUGCAGAGUGCAGACUAGAGUCUCCCUCUGAAUUCAAAAGCGAGAUUUUUUUUGGAAGUUGAUCGUAGAUGGAUCACAGUCAGAACCACAUCCAUGGCCAAUCUGCUGCGAACUUCUGCUACCAGUUCGGUUCAGACAAUCCGUUCCUUGGCAUGGGAGUUCAGCAACCAUUUGCGUCAUUCACCUCGCCAUUUGGUGCCACUCCAUCCACCAACAUUCCCCACAUGGAUUGGAACCCGGCUACCAUGCUAGACAACCUUACCUUCAUUGAGGAGAAGAUUCGGCAAGUGAAGGAUGUAAUCCGUACAAUGGUGGACGAUGGUGGCCAACGCCCAGGGGAGCUCGCUCAGCAGCAGCAGGUGGUCAAUGCAGACCUGACAUGCCUCAUUGUUCAGCUCAUCUCUACUGCCGGUAGCCUUCUCCCAUCACUAAAGAACUCGACCUUUCUGAGCCACCCCCAAGCUGGACAUAUGGGCAUCGUUAACCAUGUUGGGUCGAGCUCGAGCUUCGUUCCUAAUGUGACAACCAUUUCUGAAGAGAACAAGGAGGAAAUGUGUGGCCCUGAGGACUACGAAGAACUUUUCAAGGGUUUCACUGAUGGCGCACUGGAAGGAGGCAUUGAAAUUGGCAAUGUUCUUGUCGAGGAGCAGGAUGCAAAGGAUGGCGAUGAAGGUGGUGAUGUUGGCAUGGAUGGAGAGAGCUUACCGCCGGGCUCUUAUGAGUUACUGCAGCUGGAGAAGGAUGAGAUAUUGGCCCCACACACGCACUUCUGCUCCAUCUGCGGAAAGGGUUUCAAGAGGGAUGCGAAUCUGCGAAUGCACAUGAGAGGGCAUGGUGAUGAGUACAAGAGCCCUGCCGCACUAGCCAAGCCACCUAGAGACGCAAGCGCAGAGCACGAACUGGUGAGGAGGUACUCUUGCCCAUUUGUAGGCUGCAAGCGGAACAAGCUGCACAAGAACUUCCAGCCCCUCAAGACGAUCCUGUGCGUGAAGAAUCACUACAAGAGGAGCCACUGUGAGAAGAGCUACACCUGCAGCCGGUGCCACACAAAGAAGUUCUCGGUCAUGGCCGACCUCAAGACGCACGAGAAGCACUGCGGCCGGGACAAGUGGCUGUGCUCGUGUGGAACAAGUUUUACAAGGAAGGACAAGCUUUUCGCACACGUAGCUCUGUUCCAAGGACACACCCCGGCGUUGCCAACAGAGGAGCCAAAGACUUCUUCAGACCAGAUCAGUCGCGUAGGGAGCCACCAGGAACCAGCGAAACUCCCAAGCUCCAUGGGCAGCAGCUUCGUGUGGGGUACCUCCUCAGGUAAUGAAAAUGCCCUGGAUAUCAAAGGGGUCGAUGGCUGCAGCGAUGACUUCCUCUCGACAGCGAACUUUGGUUCCUUCAAUUUCAGUUUCGGGCCAGCUGAUGGAUUUACAGGAGAGCCUUCUGGCAGCUCAUUCUCAAUGCUGCCUUCUGAGCACUUCCAGAGUGCUCAAAAGAAGGGGAAGAACUAGACAUAGAUAAUCUCGGGAAGCUUCAGAUAGAAUUGAUGGUCAGCUUCAGAUGGACCAUAAUCAUUGCUCUUGUUUUGCAUCAUUUUCCACUGUAGUAUAACAUCACCUUUUCUUCCAUGGCAUUGUACUUGGCUUCGAAGUUCUCGCGGUCAUGUUCCUAGCUUCUUGUAUCCUGUGAACUACUCUUAUUAUUCCUAGUCUAUUGAGCUUCCAUCUUGCCUCCUAUGUCCAAUGUGCGUGAAUGAUUGAUUCCUACCGUUAAAUACUUUUUGAGGUAGCAACUACAGUGCUUCUGAUUAGCAUCCCCACUUCAAAGUAGUAUCAGUCAAUGAGACUGCUGAUAUCUUAAGAGAUAUGUGUGCAGAAAAAGUGAUGAGGAUUUUUAUCACAUUCUUUUUUCAGCUAUUAUGUUUAAUACAGUAACAUGAACAUGUUUGGAGUCUAAACCGUGCCUUCAUUGCUGGAGUGCUGCAAAGCACAUGGUGAUGCUGGAGCUGGAAAAGCAUGGGAAGCAGUUAGCCACUGAUCUUUUUCAGUUACCUUUGCAUAACGUAUGAGAGCCUGCAAUUUCUUUUGCUGUGAUCUGAUCUCUCUGCUAGUUGUUUGACCUCUUGGGAAUCUGGUGCUAUCUCACAGACUGACAGACAAGAUCAAGGAUUCAGGGAUCGCCAUGUUAGUGCCUGACCAAGCAAGUAUCAGCGUACCAUGGGUUAUGAGCAGUCUGCACCACGGAAGCACAUGCCAUGUGGCCUGCACGCUCGUGCAGCCCACGAUCUGUCGAUCGAUGUGCGUGCAAGUUAUCAGGGUGAUGCGUGGAUCGAUGCCACACGAUCUCGUGUCAGUCAGGCCGCGAUUCAUUCUGCCCCUUUACGGAGCCAAUUGGCAACGAGCAGGUGUAUGAGCAUCACUAUACAAGUUGCUUUAGAGCAUCACUAUCAAGUAUAAAAACAUCCGAAACCUUCCCCCGUGAUAUGAGUAGUAUACAUGAGUAAUACGGUUAGUAUAAGGGUACCAUGGUAAAAGAACAUAAAUGAAAUUACUAUAAUUUUAUUUUUGACACUAGCAUAAAAUUUAAAAGACCAUUCCAUUUGAAAUAUCACUUUUUACUAUGUAAUAAUUACUAAAUUAUCCAUAAUAAUGAAUAAUUAGAUCUUAUAUAUACUAUAUACCACUACCACUAAGUAAUAGUAUUAUGUACCGUAAAAGAGCUCAAGCCUUUAACCUGGUCUUAAGGAAAGAGAAAAGGAUAAGGUGCAGCUCAUGUGCGGAAAGAACGUACCUGCCAAUGCAGUAUAUGUGAUUUUCAUUUUCGGUCUACUCCACGCCUAGCAGCUGGAGAAACUCUGCAUAACCAUCACCGGUAAGAGCAUUGAACUAGAUUCUUUUUUAUAAAAGAAAAACGAACCGGGCAGGCAUCGAACAGUUUGCAAAAUGCAUGGUUUUGAUUGCAGGUGUUCCAUGGCAUCGCGAACUUUGCAAUGCAACGCGGGUAAACAUUUCAGAUUUUCAGUACAUGAGAUUAAGGAAGUCAAGCUUCAUCUCUUUUAGAUAAAAGACCAUCUCUGGCCCUGCUUUUGAUUGAAAGCAAGCUUCAUCUCUUUAGCAAACCGCAUCAGCAGCCCUCUUGUUCCUUCUGAAACUCAUAAAACCUUCUGCUCUCUCUACUUCAGUUCCGAUCCUUUUUGCUUCAGGGCCGGCCCUGGGGCAGAUGGCCCAUGCAUCGGCCAGCAACAAGCAAGUUUGGCCCAGUAUUAUAUCUCAUCAGUUGCAGAAACUAAGCCCACUUCCCCAUGAAUGGCGCUCCUGGCCCGUGUUUCUUUUCCCUUUCGCGAGAAACCAAUCAAUCAAGCUGAUAACUUCCCACGGAAUUGCCAAACGAAUACUCUUCUAUGCUUCCUCGCGCCAUGCGCGAGGCCAUCAGUCUGGCGUUAGUAUAUGUUUCCUAUCGCACGAAGCAGCUUUUUUAGCAUUGCAAGCAUGUACAUUUCAGCCUGAUUAGUAUCUCGCAUUAUGUGCCGUCAAAACGUUUUUAUUAAAAUUAAAAGUUUCCAAAUGACAAUACGAAGCAGUUUUUAAAUUUGAAGAAUUUGCAAGCAUGAUCCGCCGCAGCUGUAGCAUAUUGCGCCAUCUGCAAUCGUGAAAACGCAUCGAUUUUCUUCCAGUUCAGGUUAUAAAAAAAACCCCAACUAUUUGCUCGUUGCAUUGCAUUCGUACAACGCAUCCUCGUGAGUCUUUGAAUAAUACCCAGUUAUUUGCUUGUUGCGUUGUGCAACGUAUCCUCGCUGGUCGCAGCCCAUAAGCACCAAGCUGUCGUGGUCAUCAUGCUCGUCGUUGACUCGUCUCUAGUUUUUAGAACCACAUGAACCAACAGCGCAGUGGUUGAGCAUUCAAUUCCAUUUCAUUUCACACAGGUUCUCCCCCAAGAAAACAAGUACGAGCACUACUAUAAAACGAUUUACAGGAGCGUCGGAGCGGGUGAAAUUACCACCCGUACUACAAAAGAAGCGGGACUACUGUAGCAACCGAUCCGUCUUGAAAGCAUUUGUAGGGGCGGGUCAUGGGGCGACUCAUCCCUAGAAAUGGGGGCUAUUUUCAGGGGUGAGUGUCGGUGUUUAAACUCAGCAACCUACCGAGGGGGAUGCUCAAGGUAAUAUUUUGGUUAGUGGGGCUCGUCGAGAUCAUAAACUCGAAGGUAAACGCAGACACACGGUUUAGACAGGUUUGGGCCACUAGAUUGCGUAAUACCCUACAUCCUAUGUGUUGGUUGGAUUGAAUUGCUUUGGAGGGGUCCCUGCCUCACCUUAUAUUGUCGGGAGCGGGGUUACAGGUCGGUUAGUUACAAAAAUACUAGUUGGAUACGACUAGAGGAGUUCUACUCUUAUUACAACGAGUACUCUCCUAAUCCUUGACUACUUCCUGUCUUUUCAUGUAGACUACGCCGUCCUGCGCUAUGGUCUCCAUGUCAGAUGCGUCUCGGUGUCCAGUCUCAUAUUUAGGACCGUCCAAACCUUCUGGUGGGCUCAUAGAUAUACGUACGACAUUAUGUGAUAUGGUGACCCGCGCCUAGACAUCAUCAUUUUCAGGGGGCGGGUCACCCCAUCACUUGCCCCUAGAAAUAACAUCACCCGCUCUUGAAAAUGAUUUCCACGGGCGGGUGAUGACAUGACCCGCCCUAGAAAUGAUCCCGUGGAAAUAAAAUUAUAAAUUUUUUAUAUGAUCGUCGAUGAAGACAAACUUUAUAUCAAAAUUGUAUAGCUUGACGAGGGCUAAAACUUUGUAGUUGAAAAGUUUUUCAUUUUAGUUUGUUUAAUACUUCAAAAUAUCCGUUUAAGUUAUAUAGUUUUAAAAUCUAAAACUUUUGAAUUUUCAAAUGACUUUGGCUAUAUAGAAGCUCAACAUCAAACUUGUAGAGCUCGACGAGACCUAAAAUUUUGAAGUUGACAAGUUUUCAAUUUGAAAUUAUUUAAUAUUUCAAAAUAUUAUUAUAAUUUCUCUAGUUUUGAAAUAUAAAAUUUUUGAAUUUUCAAAUGAGGUCGACUAUAGAGAAGCUCUAUAUGAAACUUGUGGAGCUCGAUGAGACCUACAACUUCGAAGUUGACAAGUUUUCAAUUUGAAAUUUCUUUAAUAUUUCAAAAUGUCAUUAUAACUUCUCUUGUUUUGAAAUAUAAAUUUUUUGAAUUUUCAAAUGAGGUCGACUAUAGAGAAGCUCUAUAUGAAAAUUGUAGAGCUCGAUGAGACCUAAGAUUUUGAAGUUGGCAUGUUUUUUAUUUGGGAUUGUUCGAUACUCCAAAAUGUGUUAUAUGUAAGUCCUCUAAUUUUGAAAUCUACAAAUUUUAAAUUUUUCAAAGGACUUCGGUUAUAGAGAAGCUCUAUACGAAAGUUGUAACACUCAACGAGGUCUAAAUGUAUAUAAAUAUAUGUAAAUAAAUGAGUAUAUGCGUGAGUAUAUGUUAAUGUAUAAAAUAUGUGAAUGUAUGAGUAUAUAUGUGAGUAUGUGUGAAUGAGUUUAUUGGAUGUAUUUUUUGAAUAUAAACUUUUUCAGGUCAUCUUGGAUGAAUAUAAACUUUAUAUCAAAAUUGUAGAGCUCGAUGAGACAAAACAACUUUGUAGUUGACAAUUUUUGCAUUUGAGAUCAUUUAAUAACUCAAAAAAUUAUUUUAAAAUAAAAAUAAAAAUAUAUAAAUAAUUGUAGGGGCGGGUGAUGGCACCAGCUACUCCUGGAAAUAAUUUCUAGGGGUGGGUGAUGGUGUCACCCGCCCCGGAAAUCAUUUCUAGGCAUGAGUGAUGGCAUGACCCGCCCCUAAAAAUAGUUUUGCGCAAAAAAAUCAUAAUUUUUUCAUAUAAUCUCAGAUAAAGAUAAACUUUGUAAUAAAGUUGUAGAGCUCGACGAGAUCUAAAACUUUGUAGUUGACAACUUUUUUAUUUAAGAUCGUUUGAUGGUCUAAAAAAAUCGUUAUAAGCUCAAGAAAGAAACACAUACUGCGACGUCAACGAUCCAUGCCUUCAAAAUUGAAGCCGUGGGUCCUCGAGGCGCGGGAGCUCGACGGCCGGCAGCACCUUGGGUCCCCACGUUUUUUUAUUUUUUUAAUUGGUUACUAGGGGCGGGUGACGGGGUGACCCGUCCUUGGAAACGCUAUUUGCAGGGGCGGGUGAAGCCAUCACUCUCCCCUGGAAACGGCUUUACAAGGGCAGACCUUUUACCCGCUCCUGCAAACAACUAUUUGUAGCUGCGAAAGUUAGGAGCAGGUAGUGCGCUGGCCCCUGCAAAUGCCGUUUCAACGGUCCCUAAAAACCCUUUUUUAUAGUGAAAUCAACAUACAUUUGCAGUUUGCACUAUUAAAAGGCAUCCCAAUAAUCCCCUCUAGAAAUUAAGCUUGAGCAUAUUCUCCCAAGUUAACAAAUGUAGCUUAACUAGCAUAAAAUAUCAAAGGGUUCAUCUGUUUAAUUCCAUGGCAACUAUGUCAGUUUCUUAUAUUCGGGAAGGAGGAAUAAUGGGAGGAGGAGGAGGAAACAAGAGAUCCAGAAUCUGCUUGGUUGCUGGCGGUAAUUAACGAGCCAUGCCAACAUGUGGCGGGAAAAUUCGACGCCCAACCUUCGGCAGCCUUUGGCGAGAAAAACAACGGGAAAACUGGUAGAACGUUGUGGCACGCCAAAAGUUGGUAAUCAACCAAGCACCAUCGUAAAUCGUUGUGUCUGUCAAAGUCUAUGCUGUGGCUCGUUGUAGCCGGGAGCCCGGGAACCAUCCCUGGUACUGUGGUACGGAGGAGGCGGGGAUAAAGAAAUGGGUCUAACGCCACCACGUCAUCAUGUAUAGAAGUAUAGAAGGUAGCAUCCAUUCCUAGAACCAUUAUGUGGGUUUUAGUAAAUUGUUUCAUACUUAAAUUAUAGGUUUGUUGUAUCUAAGAUAGAAUCUAUUGCAUGAGUAGAGACGAGCUUUUCUGUUUUAGUUUUUUUAUAUUCACAUAUAUUAUCAUAUUAUUUUGUAGAAAAGUCAAACCGACUUAAAAUUUGUAACCUAAAAAGAUCAAAACGACCUGUAAUUUGGAACGAAUGGAGUAUAAGGGUUAAAUAGACUGAUCUAUACGGCGGUUGCAUCAGACAUAAAUAGACAAGUAUAUUAUCUGGUAGAUGUAUAGAUAAGGAAUAUUUCGUUAGCCAUCGGGAACACUUCAGGUGGCAAGUCGGCCAACCAUGUUUCCUAUUCCUCCCUUCCAAUGAUUGAUUUCAUGGACAGUCUACUGCCCGACCACCACGCAGACCCAAAUGAACAAUGGCUUCUUUAAAGGUCAAUUUGAUUAUCCAACGUUGUAGUAAUGGCCAUCUAUAUAGCUACGACGGCAUGCAGCAGGUGCUAUAUAUUCAGAUCGCAAGCUGAAGCUGCCAUUGUACUCGAACUGGCUAGACGAGACAGCUGGGUGCGUGUGUUUGGAGCUGUGCAACAACGAACAAUAUGAUGGAAGCAUGGCGGCCGCCAUGGCUGGCACUGUCAUCAGUGCUGCUCCUGUCUCCAGCGGCGUCGCAGCAGCCGCCGGGAUGCCGGCACCAGUGCGGCAACAUAACGGUCCCCAACCCCUUCGGCAUCGGCGCGGGCUGCCACCGCGCCGCAGCCGCCGGAUCCGGUGGCCGGGGCUUCGAGCUCGAGUGAGACGACGCCCACACGCCGCCGCGCCUCAGCGUGGCCGGCUACGGCCACGAGGUGUCCGCCAUCUCGAUGCCCUCGGCCGAGGCGACGGUGCUCCUCAACGCCAGCCGCGCGUGCUACGACCGCCCCGGCGACGCCGACGGCCGCGCCGCCGCCAGCGUCCUGGAGCACCCCAUGGCGCUCAACGGCAGCGCGUUCCUCUUCUCGUCGAUGAAGAGAAAGUUCGUGUCCAUCGGCUGCCCCGAGCUGACCUACUUCGUGGACGGCGGCGGGGACUACGUCGCAGGGUGCAUGUCGGUGUGCCGGCCGUCGGGGAGCACGCCGCUGCCGGGAUCGUGCCGGGGCCACGACGGCUGCUGCCAGAACAACAUACCCUUUAGGCCUCGACACCUACCGCCUCUACCUCGGCAGCUUCACCCGCCGCGGCGGCCAGCAGGUCAAGUGGUCAACCUGGGGAUGACGACGACGCUCUUGGCCAACUCCACCGGCUGCUCCUACGCGUUCAUGGUGGACGCCAUGUGGUUCUGGUUCUGGCUCGCCGGCACCAACUUCAACCGGACCGGUGAUUUCGCCGUGCCCGUGGUCCUGGACUGGGCCAUCAGUGACGCUCCGAGCUGCGCGGCGGCGCGGCGAGAUCCCACCGCGUACGCGUGCCGGAGCGCGCAGAGCGUCUGCCUCGAGUCCAGCAACGGCCCCGGGUACACCUGCAACUGCACCGGCGGGUACGAGGGCAACCCCUACGUCACGAACGGCUGCACAGGUACGGUAUUCAGAUCAUCCAUGGAUAUUCCUUGAAAUAAUGUCAUUUUAUUUGUGUCUGGUGAUCGAUGUGCCGGUGAUCGAUCCCUGACAUUGAUUGAAAUGGAUGUAACGACGGAUCAUCAGAUGUUGAUGAGUGCCAGCGCAAGGAUGAGUUCCCGUGCUAUGGGGUGCGCGUGAACACGCCGGGCAGCUUCACCUGCACGUCCCAAGGGAUCCAGCGGGAAUGCUACUAUUCCAGACGGCUGCCGCCCUGAUGACAAGUUCACGCUAGCACUCAAGGCUGUCACAGGUAUACAGGCAUAAUUCGAUAGAAAAAUCUUCAAACUAAUAGAGUUUCACUUUACUAACAGAUUAUCAAUUGCCAAACGUGUUGAAUCCGGGUUCGUUUCAGGUGUGAGCAUUGGCGUGUUCCUGCCGCUGGUGUCUUGCUUCUCGGCACACCUGUGGCUCCAGAAGAAGCGGCUGCUCCGAGCAAAGCGGCGCUUCUUCGAGCAGCACGGCGGCCUCCUCCUGCAGCAGCAGCUGGGCUCCCUUGCCAGCUCCGGCGUCACCUUCAAGAUCUUCUCCGAGGAGGAGGUGAGAAAGGCCACCGACGGGUUCGCCGAGGCGCGGGUCCUCGGCCGCGGAGGGCAGGGCGUCGUCUACAAGGGCGUCCUCGCCGACGGCUCCGCCGUGGCCGUCAAGAGGUCGAGGGUCAUGGAGGAGAAGCAGGUCAGCGGGUUCGCCAGGGAGAUGCUCAUCCUCUCCCAGAUCAACCAUCGCAACGUGGUGAAGCUGCUCGGCUGCUGCCUCGAGGUCGAGGCGCCCAUCCUCGUCUACGAGUACGUCCCCAACGGCAGCCUCCACGGCCACAUCCACACCGGCGACGGCGGCAAGAAGCUAGUGCUGCCGGCGGACGCGCGCCUCCGCAUCGCCGCGGAGGCCGCGGACGCGGUCGCGUACAUACAGUCGUCGGCCUCGCCGCCGAUCCUCCACCGCGACGUCAAGACCGCCAACAUCCUGCUCGACGGCGAGGUCAACGCCAAGGUGUCCGACUUCGGCGCUUCGCGGGUGGCGCCGGCGGACGGCGCGGCGGUGGCCGCGCUGGUGCAGGGGACCCUGGGGUACCUGCUGACGUGCCAGCUCACCGGCAAGAGCGACGUGUACAGCUUCGCGGUGGUCGUGCUGGAGCUCCUCACCGGGAGGAAGGCGUUCUGCGCGGAGGACGACAGGGAGGACGGGUGCCUCGCCUUCAGCUUCCUCGCGGCAGCGCAAGCGGGGCAGCACCGGGAGGUUAUGGAUGGCCGGGUCAUGGCGGUGGUCGGGUUGGAGGUGGUAGACGAAGCCGCGGAGCUGGUGGCGCAGUGCCUGAGCUUGAGCAGCGAGGAGAGGCCGACCAUGAAGGAGGUUGCCAACAAGCUUCAAACGCUGACAACGCGCGCAUGCAGCGGCGGCAAAAAUGCAGGAACUAAAACUAAUGGGGUUGCUCACUACUGAUGUUUCUGCAGCUCUGCUUCAUACUGGGAGAUUCGUACACACAAACUACUGGAUUUCCAAUAAAUUGAAAAGCUCAAACUACACAGUUUAUGUAUAUUCACUGUUUUUUUAAUUGUGACCAUCGAAUAUUUACUUUGUGUAUAUAAAUUCAUUCAAGUUUGCAACCAUCGAAAUUCAAGGCUUCAAAUGUCGACCCAUUUGAAUAAUUUAUAACCCCAGUGACAGCAACUGUUCCUUUUGAUUUCCGUGUCUCCACGCUCGUCCUUUGUUUCCCUCUGUUUGUGUCAAGGAUACCAUCUCUACAAUGGACAAUGGUGACUAGCUACCAUGUAUUAUUGCCCAUGGGAGCUCACUUAGCAGCAACAGGUAGUCAAUCCAGAGAUGACACGACUCAUAAUUCAUCUCAUCUCCAUUGCUAGGAGCCUGCUCCCAUCUCUGAAAAACGAGGAAAUGAAACAUCUCCAAUCUCCAUGUUCACAUCAUGGCAUGCAAGUACCAAGGCUCAGGGUAUGAAGUAUCACCUUGUUAUGAAGCACGUGAUGAUGCUUUGAGUUGUAAAUCCUGAUAAGCUGUGAGUUAUCGAUCCAUUUCUGCUGAUGCAUAUGGGAGUCUAAUUCUUUCCCCCCUAUCUCUGCAAAUUGUUGAUCUCCUGGCCUCCUGGAAAUCUGCUUCUCACUGACGGAUUAAACAAGGAUAAACCAUGUUAGUGACUGAGCUGCUAUCAUGCAGGGAGCAAGCACCACACGGAGCACAUGCACUUGGUUUUGGUCUGCUGAUCUGCUCCUCCAGCCCAUGACUCAAUUCGUGCACAAUUUUCAGGAUUCUUGCCAGGAGAAACAGGUGCCACACCGACUAGAAACAAUAUUCAUACAUAAAUGACGCCCAUCUCAGAGAAGAUAACUUCUUUUUUCCUUUUUGAAAAGGGUCACCUUGGUUCGAGCCCCGGCCAGCGGCACUUCGCAACUGUACACUCAGGCUCCCAAGAAGAUAACAUUUCACUACAGGUGUUUAAUGAAACCAAGUGCAAAUGCUUCAAAGUUCAGAUAUAACAUUUCAGACAUCCACUACAUGUGCUUAAGGUUACUAGAAGAAAGUGGCAUGCCAUUGUUAACAAACAGCAUCUCCCCCAAGCACUUUACUGCCUUUCGGUGCUCUUCCUUCUGGAACUCAUCAAACCUCUGAGUGUCGGCCAUCAACAGUUCCGUAUACUUCUCGUAGAGUGUCGUUUCCUUCCUGUCCUUUGCUUCUUGCUGCUUCAACCUGGCUACCUCAAGCUUCUCUUUCGAUAGGCGGAGCUGCACCUCCGACAUCUUCUCACGGUCCUUCUGGAGCAUGGCCUGCAGAUCCACUGCACGUUUAAUGUCUUCCUGAACUUCUGAGGGAGGAGUUGAUGCGUUCCCUUUGCGUUUCCGCUUGAAAUUUGACAUCUUUGAACCUCGUGGGUAUGUUUGUUUCUCAGGAAUAUCACCUCUCACUGUCCCUGCAUGGUCUAACGUUUUGUGACAUUGUGGAUGUGUUUUCUUUUCAGGCACAUCUUCCCUCACAGCACUCCCGUGCUGAAACUCAUUAGGCCUUGCAGUGUCAACCAUCAGUCUAUCUCUUCCAUGCUGAAACUCAUGGAUCCUUGAUGUGUCAGCCAUCAACAGAUCUGUUUGCAUUUCAGAUAUUACCAUUUCCUUGUCCUUCAUUUCCAGCUGAUUCGAUCUGGCCAGCUCAAGCUCUCGGUCAGAGCACUGAAGCUCUGCCUCUGUCAUCUCCUUGAGAUUCUUCUCAAUCAUGUUUUCAGGAUCCACUGAGCACUGAAUGUCUUCUUGCAACUCUGAUGGAGGAGAUGACACCUUACCAUUAACUUUGUGUUUCUUCUUUGCAGGCACGCUACCCUGUUCACCUGUUUCCGUUUCAGGUGCAUCUUCGGAGGAUGAUGUGCAGUCCUCAGAUUCAAACAACUCAGUUUUCUUGAAGUAUAAAGAAGAGACGUGUCUUUUCCACUUGGGUUGAUCCCAAACAGCUUUCCAACAAUGGCUGAGGGCGAAAUGAUGUUUUGCUUCCUCAAGGUACAUCUCCCGUGCUUCCUCAUUAUACAUCGCCCAUGUUUUGUCCAUCAGUUGCAUUUUCUCAGACUGGAUACAGGAAUGUUUUGCCUCAACUCGGCACCAGCAAUCAUAGAAGUGGGCGAUCUUCGUAUUAAUCCUCUGCCAGUGGGUCUUUAAUUGCAUUAGUGUCCGUUUCCGAUCUUUCGGGGUGUUCCUAUUAUACACACCCACGACAUUUGCCCAGAAAUACUUCUUGGAAUUACUCCGCCUGGAACUAUUUAACCAAGCACUAACCUGCAUAACCGGAAAAAAAAUAUUAAGGAAAAAAAAUGUAAGGACUAGUCUAAACAAACAUAAAAUGAAUAGAAAACUUCUUACCAAUCUUAAGUUCUCCACUUCUGUCCAACUCAGUCGCCUAGAGGUUCUAUCAGGUUCAGCAUUCCUGUCAUUGCCUACACUAAAAAUGUCUUGUUCAUCCGGACCAGUUACUGAAUGUGGGGUGCCUGACUCUGACACUGAUAAUGGUACCACUCCAGCAGGUGGAGGUGGAAGUGGCGAUGAUGGUAAUGGUAAUGGUAUAACUCCAGCUGGUGGAGGUGGAGGUGGUGGUGGUGUCAACAUAGCCCUGGAAGGUGGAGGUUGUGGUAGUGAAAAAGGACCAUAUUGUGGUUGGACAACAACAUAUUGGACAUGUGGUGGGUAUAGGUGUUGCUGUGGAUAUUGAUGAUGGGGGAAGUUCAUGGAAUGCGAUGGUUGUGAAAACGACACAUGGUGUGGAAAUUGUGUGUGGUGAAAGUUCAUAGGAUUGGGCCUUCCCAAUGGCUCAUUUGGACAACUCUUACAAUUUGAUGAGGAGCCACUGGGAGGACGAGGGUCCAUUUAAAAUGGAGGAAAACUGAUAUUGUGUGAUUUUGAUGUGAUCAAAUGAUAGUGGAAUUCAGGGUAAAUAGGAAUGGAGUAACAGUUGCACCUUAUAUUCUGUACAAAGUUUCAUUGAGGUAUAAGUUUAAAAUACACAUCACGGAUAAAAUUUGUAAAAGCUAUUUUUCACCUCUGUAUUUCCUUUGACGUUCAUUGGACCCUAUCUCAGACUGUCAAAUAUUCCAUGGCUCAAAGCUACCAGUAGUAUUGUAGUAACUGUGUGCUUGCAGAUGUCACACCCCUGGGAAACAAAAUGGGUGAUCAAUGAAGAUGCAGAAUCUCUGUAACUCGACUGGAUAACAGGGGAUAGCAAAGAAGUUGACUGACUAAUGUAAAAAUAUCCAUGUUCUGAUGAUAAACUAAAUUAAGGACUCAUCUUUGGAUUAGCGUUUGGAAAAACUGUUUGAAGGAAAACAACACACUGAAAUUGAAACAGCACCAAGCUCAUAUUUCCCAGUAAAAUGAUCCAGGAUAGAGUACUCAAAAUACAGGGUUAAAAUAAGGUCAGAUCCAACUACCCAAGGAGUGUGGCAUUUACCUUAACGGUAGUUAAAUAAUUUGGUCAAACCUAAUUUACAGAUACAAACAGACAUUUACAAGAUACAAAACAAUACUAGCUUUAAAACUAAAGAUAGCAUGAAGAUUAGCAGCUAGCUGAAUCAUACUCGCAUUUUAUCUAAAGAAAUGAAGGCAGAAAUACCUCCAGAUUCACGGUAUUGGGUACCAAACCGAUGCGGAAAUGGUGUAACUUGCAUAGUCUGAAAGCUUUAAAACUGGAAGGAGUGAGGGGGAAACUUAACACUGACCUAAUCCAGUGGCUAGCAUGCUCAGGUUCUUCCCUCCCAGAUCGUUGUUCCCACCUUGACCCCUCCUGAGGCAAAACGAUUCAACUUUAGUGACAGGACUCCGAAGUACAGAAAGGCGACGCAAGACACGAUCCUGAUACAGGUUCGUACAAUGCGCGGAUAUCGCGCGCCUAGCCGAACCCAAAUUCAAGGGGACCGUGCUGCCCUCCCCGCCGCCCGGCGGGGUGCGUGGCACUGGCACCGGGUUAGGAAACGGCUGGUCUGGAAUCGCCGGAGCUGGUGAGCUGCCGCGGCGGCGGGUCUGGGGCGGCGGGCGGAGUUUGCGUGGAGCCGGCGAGGUGGCGGUGGUGGGGUGGUGGGCGGAGUUGGUUGCUGUUUUCUGUUGGGCCGGGUUGGUCUUGGUCAACAAUCUGCGCUGCGGGCUGAUAAUCAUAGGCCGGACCAGGCGGACAAAAAUAGCCCAGUUUAUUGUGGACCCAAAAUAGGCUUGGCCCAGAGCACGGUCGAGCCCAGAUAGAUAUAUGAUCAUCAGACAUAGCGCCCACGGUCGAGCCCAGAUAGAUAUCUGAUCAUCAGACUAGUUUGGCUAGUCUAAAAAAAAUCAGACUAAUUUGGCGUGUUCCUUGUUGAACUCUUCUCAUCGUCCACAUCAACCUGUCCACGACGGACAGACGUGGAGGAGAGGACGAGGACGGGGUGCCUCUCACCCUCACCACCAUUGCACGUACCACUGCAAGCACACACGUCGCAUGUCACACAGAUCACACUCACACAGCCCCAGCUCGCACCUCCGAUCACACGAUUACAAUGUUGAAAGCACCCGUAAUUUUUGCUUUGCAUUAAAAAAAGAAAAAAAAUGUAUUUUUCAUCCCUCAAAUAUUGCAAAAGUGUGACAUUCAUCCCUUAUGUUCCAUUUGGUGUAAAUCAACACCUUAACUAACUAAAUCAGUGCAUUUAUCAUCACCACCUUAGUUUAGCGAUAGUUAGUGCCAUAUAACAUUGGUUUAGACCAUGUGAUAAUCUUACUGGUCACUACUUAGUUACGUCUAAUAUUGAGUCAAUCACUAUAAUAAUUCUGAGAGUUGUUAAACUACGUUCCAAUGUCCAGUUUAAAACCGAAUUGAAUAUUAUAUGUCUGAAUAUACCAUGCUGGUAAUAACCCAUAGAAAAAUGUAUGUUGCAUGCUCUAAAGAAAUGUUUUUGCCUUCAGAUUGAUUUUGUAGCAAGCAAACUGUCAUGAUCCCGACCAUAAAUAGACUCAAAUUCAAAUAGUGCAACCUUUUAUCCACCAGAUCACUGUGUCAAGGUUGUUCUCAUGGUUCUUAGACUCAAAUUCAGAUCAAUGUACAUACUUCAGCCUUCUAUCCAUUGUUGUUCUGAUGGUUCUUUGAAUGAAGUGGUUCUAUAGUUUUCAUUGAGACUUAUGAUACUGCUUAUUGGUGUUGAACUAUGUAUUUUUGUUUCAGCUUGGAACCAGAAGACAAUAAGGAAGGAGUAAUCAUGUAUUGCAAUAUAAAUAUUUUAUCUCCUAGUAAAUCCUGGUGUCAAAAAAAAGUCAAAGUCUAGGAAUGAUAGUCAGCUGGCACGUGCAAGCAGACGUACUCCAAAAUUCAUCGAAAAUGGUAAACAACCACCACCGCCGACCGGCGGCCGCCCCUGCCGUCCUACCACCCAGUCCAACCACUACUCCACCCUUUCUAAAAUACCAGAUUUCUAAGGACCAAACGAUAAAACACCUCAACGAAAGAAAAGCCAAAGCGGGCCAGCGGCAAAACCAAAGCCUGCAACUUUUGCGUAAAAGCCCCCUCAUAUUCUCCCUUCCUCCUUCUUUGAGUGCUUCUCCCCUUCUUCGAGGUCUCGCCUCGCGCACCGGCGAGCGGGCGCGCGGUGGAAGCAUCUAGAAGGUUCCCGACGCCACCCCCGAUGCUCUUCCGGAAGCGAAUCAACUACGUGGCCCCGAUGCUCGCCUCCGCCGCCAUCCUGCUCCUCCUCCUCUCCGGCUACUUCGAGCUCCCCUCCAUCUCCUCGCUCUCCACGCCCGCGCCCGUCCUCCCGGGCGCCGGCGCCACCCGCUUCCCCACCGCGCUCGACUCCGUCGGCUCCCGCGACCGGAACCCCUUCACCUCCCUCCUCGAGGCCUUCAACGCCUGGGACGCCGCCGUCGGGUGCCCCCGCAUCCGCGCCAAGCUCGCCGCCGGGGAGCUGCCCGGCGCCAACGCCACCGCCGAGGCCUCGGCUUCCGCGGCAAUCACCGGCGGCGCGGCGUGGGGCGGGGCCAAGUGCGAGGAGAUGGCGACGCGGCACGUCGGGGUGCUCGUCAAGGGGUGGACGUGGAUCCCCGACGCGCUCGACGGGGUCUACACGUGCCGCUGCGGGGUCAGCUGCGUAUGGAGCAAGUCCGCUGCCGCCGUCGACCGCCCCGACGCGCUGCUAUUCGAGGGCGCCACGCCGCCGCCGCAGGUACCCGACUUCUUCCCCUCUUUUCUUGUCCAGUCAUGAUGGGGGGAUCACUUGUUUUCUUGAAAAAUGAGGCGUCAGCUGCGAGCUGCCUGUUUAUGAUGAACUGAUAGCUGCUAAAUUUGGCACUUGGAACUUCAGAGAUCAAAUUGGCGAUGAGUUCUAAUCCUUCGUGGAAUCAGAGAAUUGGUAUACCAAAAAAAGAAGAAGAAAAAUUUGGGGCCAUUUCUGUUGGGGAAAGAGGUAGGAGUACCUAACAGGUGCCGAUGGUAGCAUGUGUGCCCUUUUAAAAUGUUGGUUAGGUUAUAAAAAAUGCUUUUGAAGUGUGUUCUAAGUUUGUUUGUGUACACUUGAUGACAUGGCAAAAUAUUUUUUUUGAAAAUGUGGCAAAAUAUUUUGUCCGAAUCUUAGUUUCUUGUUGAAAUGUGGGAUGCUCCCACCAUUUUUAAAUCAUGACGUUAUAAACUAAUUAGCUCCCACCAUGUCAGCAUCCAGGUGCUGACAUGGACCAUAUGGACCUGUGGUGCAGCAUUUGACAAGUUUAGUGAUAUGGAAAUGCAUUUUCUAAGUUUAUGGGCCUAAUUGAUACACAGUAACAAGUUCACGGACUGUUGAUUUAAUUUUACUCUAUUUAAAAUGGAGGGAGCAGGAGCACUCAUGAUACCAGUUCUUCUAAUUGAAUUGUUUGCUGUAGUAAAUUGGUGAAACAGCAGAUAUUGUUUCCCACUGAUCUGCUGCUUUGAUGAAAAAUUCAGAAGCUGGGACCUGUAACCUGUCCGUAUCAGUAUUGUGGAUUGCUUGCCGCCUCUUUCCUUUGCAUCUUAUUUCUGUCUGUUAAUUUGGCAGUUCUGGUUGGUCAUUUGGUAGCUAAAGGUUUGGUCAGUGGCAUGGCUACAGCUUUGCAAGUUUGCCAUCUUUCAUUGGACUUGCGUGGAAUCAAACACUUAUUCUCUUUUUGAAUAAUUUAAGAUUUAUUUAUUCAUUGUUUUAUAAACUGAUUAAGUAUAUACAUCUAUCUGAUUCUCAUUUUUAAGUGUUCCGUGACAUGUUUUGCAGAGAAUGAAAGGACUGCCUCUUCGUGUUUAUCUGGAUCUGGAGGCUAGUAGAAAGCCAACAGGUUUUGAGGACAUUUUUAUAGGUUACCAUGCGAAUGAUGAUGUGCAAAUAACGUACGCUGGAAAGUCAUUUCACACCAGCCGGAGCUAUCAUAUAUCAACUGAAAAGAAAAAUGUAAGUCUAAAAGUAUAAAUUGCAUUGCAUAGUAAUAUCAAGGCAACAAUUUACUUGGCUUACAAAAAUAGUAAUUUUAAUACCCUGUGCACUUCCUAACUCCAGCUAUGUUUUUCCUUAACAUGAGUAUCAGUGUAUUACUCAUAAUUUUUUUAUGGGAACUGUCCUGUCCAGCAUUGGUUGUUUGAACUUUGUCCGUAGAAAAUGUAGAUAAUGUCUACAACUCUACAAAUUGGCUUACUCUAGAUUAUUAGCAGGUGCAUAGAGACCCAUCUUAACUGAAGGUUUUCCACUUCUUUUUACCUUUUUAUGGCAAGCCUGAAACAGUUAUGUGGGGGAUGAUGCAAAGAGUGAUCGCAAGAUGAUAUAGAGUGGGGGACGAGUGUUCACAGUACCAAAUCUUCUGUAUUUUUCUGUAAUUUGUGUUUUACUGUCACAAGAUGAAGUCAUGCAUGUCUGCUGUUGCAUCAGUGCUACAUUUUAUCAGAUAGAAUGAGUCCUGCUGUAGUAAUUCUCCCUCGCAUCAUUUUAAUCUUAUGAACUUUUGAUUUACCUGUCUGGUAUCAGGAUGCACUUAUUUACUGGUCAUCUUCAAGGUGCCUUCCUCACAGAGACAAGCUUGCAAAAGAUUUCCUCACAUUGGUGCCACACCAUUCCUUUGGCAGAUGUUUGAACAAUGUUGGUGGUCCUGACAUGGCGCUAUCUAUGUAUCCAGUUUGCUCCACCAAUGAUAAUGGUUCACCACACUGGUGGGAUCACCUACACUGCGCAAUGUCACAUUACAAGUUUGUUCUUGCAAUUGAGAACACCAAGACAGAAAGUUAUGUGACUGAGAAGUUGUUCUAUGCUUUGGAGGCUGGAUCGGUGCCCAUAUACUUUGGGGCAGCCAAUGUCUGGGAUUUUGUUCCUCCCAAUUCUAUUAUAGAUGCUUCCAAAUUCAGCUCUCUGAAAGAACUGGCAUCAUAUGUGAAAGCACUUGCAAAUGACCCUGUAGCCUAUGCAGAAUACCAUGCAUGGAGACGCUGUGGUGUUCUGGGUAACUUUGGCAGGGCCCGUGAAAUGAGCCUUGACACGCUGCCUUGCCGACUCUGUGAACUAGUUAGCAAGAGAGGUGGUAAGAGUGCGGAUGCAUUGUGAUUGGUGGUAGGUGUCCUGACUUAGAUACUCCCUCUCCAUCUACUUUAACGCUAGCUCUGUCUGAUAUAACCUUUUUCUUCGUUUACACUAGGUGAUUUUUUGGCUUGUAUACCUCGAUACAUUGAGAACUGAAUGACUUACAACUCAGAUAUGUGAGAUGCUAAUGGUAUGUCAAACUGCUCGUGCUAUUCAGUUCAAGAAGUGCUCUUGAUAUUUGGGUGAAGAUCACAUUGUCGGAAGAAAAUAGUGCAAUUUUUUUUUAUUAUUUUUGACCCGUAUCUUUUACCUUCGGAGUUACGAGGUGUGUGCAGUUUCUGGGCUAGAGGCUCAUGUUUUUUUGGCGGAUAAGAAUGCUGUGUUUGGUAUGGUAUGAGCCAGUAGUCAUCUAUUAUAUAUCAAUACAAAUUGAUUGAGGAAAUUUGAUGGUAGCACAGAAAUGACAGUAUCAAAACUAAUGUUACGGCUCUUCAUGUGGCUACAAAAGUAUGAACUAACCUUUUAAGUUUUGUGUUGAUGUUAUGGCUGGGUGUAUUUGUUCUAUGUAGGAUUUAUUGCAUUCGGCGUGGUCUCCUUUUUAAAAUUCUCGAGUAUGGGCAUGCAAAUUGUAACAAUGUGAACCCCUCGCGGAACACUUUGUAUGUUUUGGUAUGAGGUUCCAACUGAAGCUUCACAUAUGGGUAAGUCUGUCAGGCAGGCUUUUGGUGUUAAUGCAUAAACUCAACACGGUAACGAGUUCGCUUGCCUUCAAUUUGACUGGCGUGCAAGUUUCUAUUGAUCGAUGGUAUGUUGGAACACCAUGGGCUUUUGCUUGUGUCACAUGCUCUGUGUAGGCUGACUGUUCGUGUGUGCUUGUUGGCGUAAGGGACACAAGCAUGUAAGCUAAAUUUCAGGGGUCAAAGAAUGAAUGCAUUUCAGAUAGCGUUGGUUAUUUUUGUGAGACUAGUACUGCAUUAUCAUGACAUGAUCCUUAUGCUAACAAUGUAACAAUGGAUGAGUACCGGAAUAAACGUAAAUGUCCCUUUUUAUUGACUCUCAUGAUGAAACUAAAAUUUGAUUCUUGCACCAGAACCAGAGUGAUCUCAUUCGAAACAUCGAUCGGUCUGAACAAGUAGGCCAGACUCACCCCGACUCUAGAUCAAGUAACACACAGAAACAAGAACAUGAUGGAUUAAAAAAAAAAGGAACAUGAUCACAGACGGAGGCGGAGGCGUGGAAGCGGAGGAGGACGUAGGUGAAAUCGGCUUGAACAUGCUGAUGCGGUGGCCAGGGCGGCCAGGGCGUCGGAGAUGCCGCCGACGAGGCGAAGCGCUGACGCGCUAUGCGGUGCGGCAGGAAUCUCCAUUCUGCCAUUUGCUAUCGCGGAACGACUUGGGAGUUGUUCAUCGAACAGCAGUGGCAACUGCGCAUCUCCAUCUCCGCUAGUUCAUGCCUAGUCUGAUGAUCCCCAUCCGUUUUUUCUUUCUCUUGUGUUUUUGCUAUCUGAAUUAACCUUUGACAGUGUUCCUUCCAGCAUGAGUAUGUGGAACUGUCAGAUCAACGUCCUUUGGCCUUCUCACCAUCUUGUGGGAACUGUCAGAUUGUGUUGUGUGAUUACAGCUCCUUCUGGUCUCAAUGAAACUCUGAGAGGGAGAGGAUGUUCAAACCUUCUUUGUCAAAUGUCAACUAUCGUCAUCGAGAACACAAAGUAUAACAUUUAUUUAUUUAUUUAUGACUAUUUUUCUUUCAAUUGUUAGCAGUAAAAGGAACAUCGUUUCAGAGUAGCAAUUGUUUCGUCUAUAGAUCCUAUGUGUGCCUGUAGCACAGGAAAUGUGAGAGUUUCGAGUUAAUUCGUAUCGUCUAUGAUUUACUUGCUAAUUGUUCACUGAUGUAUGAUCAUGAUCAUGUUAUGCAGCUCAGAAGAUGUACUUAUGCGUGUUGUUGCACAAAAUACUUCCACUGAGUUGACCCUUCCUUUAUUCUUGUUAUCUAAGUUUUGUAGUCUCUCAGGCGUUCAUGCUGAGUUAGGUAAAUCUGCAUUGCGUAGCUCCGAGUGGUAAGAUAACCUAGCAAGUAGCAGUACCCGAAUCGCCAGACAUCAGUUAGAGUUGAGGAGGCACAGGCACCUGAAGAGCCUGCUUCACUACAGCAAGUCAGCAACAGUCAUGGUCUACAACUUUACAUGAAACGAUCUACACUGACUUUGGGAGGGUGGGUGAAGUCACAUGUCAAAACUGGAGAUAGUGGAAGAAUACAAACAAUAUCAGAGACGUUCCUAGCUCAUUUCAGAGGAUGCAAAAGCUGAAACUCAUUUCAGAGGACAACGCUGAAUGUUCUCCUAUCAGGGACUCACAGGUUCGGUUAAGGUCUGUUGCUAGGUGAAGGUGAUCACUUUCAGAGAUAUUAAUGAUUGUAAAUUUCAGAAAACCAUCGCAUAUUGCACUGACAACAAUCAGAAUAUAAAUAACGUCCCUUUAUAUUCAACCAAAGAUCAUAAAGAAUACAAUUGACAGAUGAGAUCUACCAUUAUUCUACAAGGAGGAGGAGGAGGAGGAGGAGGAGAAGGAGAAGCAGAAGAAGCAGAGGAGGGAAAGGGAAAGCACAGCAGGGGGUGGGUGCUCUCAUCUGUUCUUCCGCGAGCAGCGAGAGACUUAGAAUCCGGAUGCAUAAUCGUUGGCGGCCGGCCAACGGCGGCGCCACGGAGCUCCAUUCCUCGGGCCCAUGGCGUGGAGACGUGGAGGCGUGCGAGGAGACGAGCUGCGUAUGUCCCGGCCUUGCCCCGGCUCCCGGGACGGAGGAGCAGAGCACCGUGUCCUCCCUAGUCUGUCUAUCGCCUUCGUCGCCCAGCUGGCCCUCCCGGGACGCGAUCCAUGCAGUAGUGUUCGUUGAGGCUCUGCCCGGAUGAUGCGGCCUGAUCCCUCGCACCCGCUUACCAAACUACUUGACCGAGCACUGCGGCUUGGCCGAGACUCCAACCAAAGCAUAGGCCAUACGUGGUGGCAAGCUCCGAUAAUGGACUGAGCUGUGAGCUUUGGGCGCCGCCGGCCGGAUUCCAUGCGUGCCGUUGAGCACCCUGCACUUGCAUGCAUGCACGCGUAGGCUGCAUCCGCAAAUAGCUAGUUGACCAUUUUCCUUCACCGUAUUAUCUGACGUGCAAGGAGUUACCCCAUGCUCGAAAUUGUAGCUCGGUGCUAGUUUGUUCAUUAUUUCUAAAACAUGUUUCUUUACGGGUAAUUAACUUUGAAUAUAUUUCAUCGCUUCAUCUAUUAAUCAAACUCUUUACACGCUUUUCCAAUAAAACAGAGUUCUUGGCUAAACAAAGCACAAUAAAAUCAUUUUGGCAAAAUAAUGCUGGUGCAACGAGAAAAAACUAGUUUGACCAACGACCAAAUCAAGAGAGCAUAUCCCUUAGGCCAGAUAAUUAACUACAGCAUCAUCAGACUGUCAGAGACACCACGCAAGUUUUUACUUUUUUACCAUCGCGUGAAUACGCGAACUAUCCAGCUACUAGAAGUUGCCGUGUUCACGAGGGGGUGGCACAGCAACGGCGACGGCGCAACGUGCACGAACCGUCUAAACUCACUCAUCCUCAUCCAUCUGAGGACAAUUUUCUUUUCUUUUUUUUUGUUUCAGUGGGUCUGUGGACAAUUUUGCUUGCACCACGUACGCUCCAUUUUGCCGUUUCCAUCACCUUGUGCCUCACGACAACGCAAUAUACACGUACAUCCUUUUCUUUGGAGGAAUUCGGGUUUUUUUUUAUGUUUUUUAAGCAUGUGACAAAAUGAAUGUUACUAGCAUUCUUUUUUUUCCCCCGAGUAAUUGAUGGAUGGUAUUGGUUUGACUGAAAACAGGAUAGGCAAUUCCGAGGCCAGAAAUGAGCGCACAGGCCUACAGACGAAAUUCAGCACCGGCCAUCAGCAAUAUAUUCACCAUAGGUAAAAUCGUCCCGAUGAGUUAGGUUAAAAUUAUUUGAAAAAACAAAACAAAUCUAUCAUAGCUAGCCAGUUAGGUCCCGUUUAGGAGGGUUUCUUCUAAAACGGCUUCAUCGGUAAAGCUAGUGGAGUAAAAAAAUAGUGGUUACACUUAGUUUCUAGUUCAUUUUAGUUUCGAUUUACGAAAUAGCUUCACGUUACAAUAUCUCAUUUUGCGAAAAAAGACGAAGGUGAAGCUAGGAUAAGCUCUAAAAAACGGGCCUCGGUCUUGCAUGCGUACGAUAACUGCUUGCAGUCACUGACUGCCAGCUAACCUGGCGGCAUUACAAUACUCGAACAGACCAACAAUUACCACGCUUUCUCACUGUAAACAAGUGAAACCAACCAAUCUUCUAUGUGUAAACACCUGCAGCAUGCAAAGCUGCAUUUUUAUAUGGGAAGAAAUCUGUCCAUGCAUGCAUGUCUAUCUCCCAAGUUUAGUAAGAUCCCCAUGGCCUUGUUGUAUUUAAGCCACACGAGCCUUACCUGCAGAUGCUCACAAAGCCAGCUUAGCACAGAGCUGCAGAGGCAACUAACUGUCACCUCAGCUACACGAGGAAGACAAGACAGAACAGAAGCUUCUGCUGCGUAUGCCAACGAUGGCUUCUCACGCUCUCCUCCCCCUCCCUUGGCUUUCCUGUGUCAGUGUCUGUGCCUGCAUGGUUGCAGUGGCCGCCUUGUUGGCGUCGACGCCGGCGGCGGCGUCACGCGCCGCCCUUGGCGCCGCUGCCGGCAGUGGCGACCCGACGGUGGGGUUCACGGCGGUGAGCCUGAGCGAGAGCAACUUCGUGCUGCAGCGCCCCUACAACGUGCCGAGCGGCGACCGGUACAGGUUCGCCGGCGGCGUGCGGCAGCUGUGGGUGCUGUCCUCCGACAAGCCCCAUGAUCCCCACAGCCACACCAGCCCCAGAACGGAGAUCAGGAUGACGGUGAUAAAUUAUCCUUCUCGAUCGAUCACAGAUUUAGCUGAAAUUAACACAAGUAGAGAGUUAAUCAUAUACAGAGAUCAGGAUUAGAUUCAGAUCAGCAAUCUUCUUUCAAUCUUUCCAGGGCCACGACUACUCUUCUGGGGUGUGGCAGUUCGAGGGCUACGGCUACGUCCCCUCCGGCACGACGGGGGUGUCGAUCAUGCAGGUGUUCGGCGCCGGCGAGUCCGCCACCACGCUGAUGCUGCACGUCUACGACGGCGCGCUGCGCUACUACGACCGGCAGGUGGUGGAGGACAACAUCUACGACCGGUGGUUCCGGCUCAACGUGGUGCACGACGUCGGCGCGUCGACGGUGGCCGUGUUCGUCGACGGCAUCGAGCGUCUGCGCGCGCCGGGCCGCGGCGGGAGCUCGCACUACUUCAAGUUCGGCGUGUACGCGCAGAACCACGCCUCCAGCAGGAUGGAGUCGCGCUGGAAGGACAUCAGGAUCUUCAGGAAAGAUAACUGAUGAUCAUUUGACAUUUUGAGUCGAGCCAGGCACACGAUAGCUUAGCUACUAUAGUGCUUGGAGUAGUAUGCAUUUGUGUACAGUUGAUAAUAAGUGCAUUGUAUAUAUCGUUGUGUGGUUUGUGAUUACUGCAGUACUCGUAUCAUUGUGUGAAAAAUAUUACUCAUGUUUUGCCGGCUUGCCGCUAGAACAAUUUUGUCUGUCUACAAAUUAAAGUAGCUUUAUUGUUCCUCUAUUUAGUUAUUUUUCUCAUCCCUGCGAUAGUUGAUCUCUUAAAGCAUCAGGUGUAGUUGACAAAUUCAGACAAAUGCAUGUAUCUUGAAAUGCGGUAGACUCCAGGAAGCAGUAAUUUAUUUCACAUUAAGCAAUAACUCCUUUUUUUCAAACCCCUAAAUUGCUCGCGACGCAAAUCAUCCUCUUCACCCUUCAUAGAGAUCGACCACCAAUUUUGAAUAAUGCCCAUCUAGGCUUACAUCUCCUGCUGCCUGUUUUGUAUUUAAAAAGAAAAGGCAAUGACCAAAUAAAAGAAUAGGAAAGGAAGACUUCUACGAUGAGAUUAGUUUGGCCUUUGCUAUCUCAAACAUACAAAAUAUUAUGGGAGGUGUCAUCAUCUCUUCGCGGUGGCCACUUAUAAUUUCAAUAUAGUCUGAGUGGGGAAAUACCUACUCUAGCUUAAGCAAUUGUCAUGCUAUACCUGAGAGGGGCAUCAUUGUGUGCAGAGACGGAAGGCCGUGAUAUGAGCCGAUUUUUAUCACCAGUUUUUUUUUACUCAUGUUUUACCGGCUUGCCGCUAGAACCAUUAUAAACAAAAUAAGACGCCGUCUACAAAUUAAAGUAGCCUGGCACUGCAAUAAUACUAGCGAUUACGUAAUAAGAUCUCACAUCUGCCGUCCUCUGAAAAAACUAAGGACUUAAUGUGCACCUGUGUUUACAAUGCAGCUAUUCAAAGCAAGUCUGGCACCUGGUAAGCGGCUGAACCGGGGGGCAGGUAUGCACUCCAACUGAUGAAGAUCAGGAACUGCAGGUUUGGUGGACUAAAGCCCUGCAGGCGCUGACCAAGCAACAAAGAAGAUCCAAGGCGGCGAUCAUGACCAUCACAGCGUGGAACGUAUGGAACGAAAGGAACAAAAGAAUCUUCCAGCAACAGACACUACGGCCUGCGCAAAUUCUUCAAAAGAUUCAGAAGGAUAUUGCUACGAGAUGUCGAACAUGUGGGAGCCCAGAAUUGGACGGUGUAUCUUAUUAAGUUCGUUUAGAUGUUCAAGAGUCGAGUUAAUCUUAUUAUCUGUAAUAUCGAACUAUAUGUAACCUUAACUUUCUCUUCUCUUUAAAUGAACUAGCAGGGUCCUGCUUCCUUUUUUUUUAAAAAAACUACGACUUCACGUGGUUCCCGCUAUUGCCGAAAUUGCAACAAAAGAUUCGAAGAAUAUCGAGUCGAAUUUAAAUUUCCGGGUUCCGUAUGAACAGGUAAUAGCUUGCCCUCUGCGUGCAGUUUUCUUUUGUCAUUCCCUCUCGGUACAGUGCAUCAAUAUCACCAAGGACUCCCAUCUAUUUAAGAACAUGAUGAACCCUUGGUCGCCGUAGAUGCUCUGAAGACAUGCCAGCUAGUUGAGGCAACUGAUCCUGGCCAGCUAAGAAAGGGGAAAGCAAAGGAAAGUGCUGCUGCAUAUACGCCAUGGCUUCGUACACCCUCCCUCUUCCCUGGCUUACCUGCCUCUGCGUCGUGGUUGUCGUCUUGUUGCUGUCGCCGGCGGCGCUCCUUGCCGCCGCUGCCGACGACCCGACGGCGGGAUUCAAGGUUGUGAGCCUGAGCGAGAGCAACUUCGUGCUACAGCAGCCGUACGACGUGCCGAGAGACGCGCGGUACAGGUUCGUCGGCGGCGUGCGGCAGCUGUGGGUGCUGUCCUCCGACAAGCCCCACACCCCUCAGAGCAACACCAAACCAAGAACCGAGAUCAGGAUGAAGGUAUGUAAGGUGUUCUCAUGUCCAAUCCUUCUUUCAGAAAAGGGUUGAAACUUAAAAGUACUCGAUCAUCUUUGCCAACAUGUUAUUGGUAAUUAAAUUUUGUUUCUAGGGUUACAACUACUCUUCCGGAGUCUGGCAGUUCGAGGGCUACGGCUACGUUCCCUCCGGCACGACGGGGGUGUCCAUCAUGCAGGUGUUCGGCGGCGGCGAGUCCGCCACCACGCUGAUGCUCCACGUCUACGACGGCGAGCUCCGGUACUACAGCCAGCAGGUGGUCGAGAACAACAUCUACAACCGGUGGUUCCGCCUCAACGUGGUCCACGACGUGGACGCGUCGAGCCUCUCCGUCUUCAUCGACGGCGUGAAGAAGCUGCAGGUACCCGGCCGCGGCGGCGACUCGCACUACUUCAAGUUCGGCGUCUACAUGCAGCACGACGCGUCCAGCUUCAUGGAAUCGCGCUGGAAGAACAUCCGGAUCCUCAAGAAAUGAAGACUGAUCUCGAUUGAUGAUACCUUCUCUCCGUGCCAUCAUUGAUGGCAUGCAGCUUAUAUUGAUUGGGGUGAUUGUUUGCAUGUUCGGUUUAUGCAUUCCAGUAUACUAUCCAUCUAUAUACCGUAUCAUUGUAUGAUUUUGUGUAUCUUAUUGUUCGUAUCAUUACGUGUAAGAAUACGAUGCAUAUGUUAUGUUAUUUGUGUAAUGUAAUAAAUUGUUAAGGCAGUAAAUAUAUAGUCUUGCGGUCCACUAUUUCCGUGUUUCCUGUGGUGAUGAUAAGGCCAGCACAGUUUUAUUGUAUAGUUACCAAGAUUGAAAAAUAAUUAACUGUGCUACUUGAAUUUUAUCGGGAUGAAACUCCUCUCACGUAUAAUGAAACUCCUUCUUCUCCUCAUAAAUACCCAAGUCUGCAAAAUUGGUGACGUGAUAUGAAAAUUAAUAUUCAUAAAACCCUUCAUGAAACUCCAACCGAGACUGGCCUAACAUGUAUAUAUUGAGUUCCACAAUAGAUUCAGAGACACCAUAGUUGACGCUCGACAAAUUCAGAGAAAAGGAUGGACCAUAAAUGGAGAUUGAUAAAAGGCGGUUGAGAAGUCAACGCAUUACAAAACAUAUGGACCAUGAAUACGAUAGUAGCCAUUUAUUCUUAGACUAUUUUUAAUGGAAGUUUCAUUUUCACUAAAUGCAUGCUAUGUCGGUGUUUGUAUGAUGUGGUAAAUAAUUAAUAAAGAAAUAGAUGAAAUAAGUUUCAUUAGAUAAAAUCUAAUGAAAAAACUCAAGCCGUAACAUACUCCAUGUCAAGCCGUUUGCUAUUUUUUUUCAUACAUUGUGGUAAUCCACCCGUUUAAUGUGAUUUCUCCUUUUAAAUUUCUUUAUUAGGAGUUGUUAUGCCUAAAUUUCCACUGGAUUUAUAUGUAUGGGAACUCUCAUCUAUCGAUAGAAAAGAAAUUCCUCACCUCUCUUUUUUUUUACAAAAAGAAAUUUCUUCACCUUAAUCAGAACGGCUGAUUUUCGAUCGAACGGCUGAUUGAAGGGCAUGCCGUAGGUAUUGUGCUUGGGAACCGGAACGGUAGUGGAGUGAAAAGGGGAAGCGAGACCGCCCGCCACAUGCCUCCUCGCCUCCUCCUCCUCCUCCUUCCUCGCGGCGGCCUCCUGCCCCCUCUCCGCCGCCGUUCACCGGCGCUUUCUCCUCUUCUCCGGAGAAUCCCCUUGACUAAGCACCCCGGCGCCUUCUUCCUCUCCCCCGUACGCGCCUUCUCCGGGCACUCCGGCAUGGCGGCGGGUUCGCCGGAGCAGCUGCAGCGGAGCGUGGUGGUGAGGGAGACCGUGGAGCUCACGGAGAAGGAGGAGCAGAUCUUCCGACGGCUUCUCGAGGUCGUCCGCCACUUCGGCCUCGGCACGCAGCUCCGCGUCGCCGGUGGCUGGGUCCGGGACAAGGUAAGCUUUUCGCUCUUGUUUUUCCCCCCUUCCAUCUACAAAAAGCUUUCUCUUUAGCCAUUGGAUGUAUAGUGUCAGAAUGAACUAGAGAAAUUUAAAAUUCAGUUUUUUUUAGGAUGUAAGCUUUGGUUGUAUUUUAGGAUGUGAUUGCUCGCUGUUGACACAAAGGUGGGAUUUUUAAUUGAUAUGUCACAAUUUUUUCUAUUGACAACUUGGCAUUUUAUAAAUUUUUGGGGAGCAAAUUGUUUAAUUCUUAAUAAAAUGAAUCUCAAUAUCCUUUAAGUUGGUUACUCAGGAUUUUCAGGAAAUUGUUUUGUGAUUUAGUAGGUGAUCAUAUGAUUUCUUUUUCUCACAAAUCACCAUAUAGCAAAUACAAGGAUACCAGCAAAGACGGUUUUGGUUCAGGAACGGUUCCUCCUUUCAGUUGGGUAUUACAAGCUUUGCUGUAUUUUGAUACUAUGGUUAUUAUUUUGGAUGGAUGUCCUGUCCUAUAGGUUUUAGGGUUUUAUGUGGGUUUUGGAUAAACUGUUUAGCAAUGUCAUGCACAAAAUUGAAUGCUUAGAGUGGGUUUUUAUUGAAAUUGUUCCACAUCUGUGUGGACAAUUUUGUUCUUUGCCUAUGUUUAGGGUUCAUGGCAGCGAUGUUGGUCACAUUCUUGCCAAUUGCAUAAACAGCUGUGCUGGUUGGGUCAGGGGAUGCCCUGAUCAGCUUAUUUCUUGACCUUGGAUUUUUUGUAGUCUGUAUGCAAUGAAAAUCUAUGUUUUCUACUGUAUUUCACUUGGAAAUUUUGGAUGUAAUGAUGCAGCACCAUGUGGCGUAGGAUAAUUUGUGGAUAAUCCUCAAAAUGACUAGAGAAGUGAAGGUUAAUCAAGAUAUUCUUUUUCAUAUUUUUCUGAUGCUGUGGUUUGUUAAUUCUGUAUAAUAUAUUGGUUUGUUAAUUCUGUAUAAUAUAUAAUAUAAUGAAUCAUUCAUAAUGUUUUGCCCUAAAAUAGCCUCUUGUAGAUUGUUUAAACAUAAAGUGAUUGUUGGCAGUUUAUGAUUUGACUUCUGCCUUGGCAGCUACUAGGGAAAGACUCCGCUGACAUUGACAUUGCCCUUGAUAAUAUGACGGGCCAGAAUUUCUGCGAGAAAGUAAAUGAGUACUUAGAGUUGAUAGGGGAGGAGCAGAAAGGAAUUGGUGUUAUCCAGUGGUAUGUGAUUUUUAUUAUGCUAAUCCGAAUGAGUAACUCAUUACUGUUGUUGCUUACCAUUUUACACUUGUUUAGUCAUAAAGUAACUGCACUGAUUGAUACAUUGUGGCUGUUUGUUUAUCCAUUAGCUUGAAUCAUGAAUUCUAUUUGUGUUCUGCAGCAACCCUGAUCAAUCCAAGCACUUGGAAACUGCUAGGAUGCUUAUACUUGACAUAUGGAUUGAUUUUGUUAACUUGAGAUCUGAAAAGUAUGCUGAAAACAGUCGUAUUCCUACCAUGGUGUGUACUUAUAUCCAUCCUUUCGCAUGGUUAUUUCAGUGACCUCGUUUACAGAGUACAUAUUAUCUCUUUUCAUAUCUGAGUUAUUUGUUACUGAGAGAUUUUGACCACCUGCCUAUAUGCUUAGCUGAACAUUUCCCAUUGUAUGGACAUGUCUCUUUUGGGUGUUUCUUGUAUUGUUGUGAUAGUUUAACAACUAAACCAUAUUUUGGCAGCUCAAUUUGAUUUACGUUUAGUACUCCUUCAUUUUCAGGAGGUUGGUACUGCCGAAGAAGAUGCAUACCGCAGGGACUUAACGAUUAAUAGGUAAUACCUUGAUAUUCCAUUUUCAGAUGGUUUGUUGUAUCUCCAAAAUUUUGCUUCCAUCAUUGCAAGUUUGAUUUUAGUUUGAAAUAAAAAAUUUGAAGGCAAGCCUAUUCUUCACAAUCCUAUAUUUAUUUUUGUUCCUUUUUUUUCUAACUUUGACAGCUUGUUCUUUAAUAUCAACAAUAACUCAGUGGAAGAUUUAACUGGAAGAGGUGAGUUUGCUAGUACUUCUAUUGUACAAGUUCAUAAAUUGAUGUGGCCAUUUUUCAAUGUUCAUGCUGCUAUGUCAUUGUGAAGGUAUUGAGGAUCUCAAAGAGGGCCUUAUUGUUACUCCUUUACCUGCCAAAGCUACCUUCCUUGAUGACCCACUUAGAGUUCUUCGAGCGAUAAGAUUUGGUAAUUUGAAACAUCUCACAGUUAUUCUCUAAGACUUUUCUAUAUUAAAUUUGUUAUACCAAGAAAGUAUUCAUGAUAAAUUUACUUCCUAAUAAGUGGAUAAUGGUGUUACAUGUAUUCAUGUUACUGGAGUAAUUUUAGUUGAAACUCAAGAAAUUCCUUCUAACUGCUUAUGUCAUUUUUCAUCAAGAAAUGAAUACUGUGAAUUAUAAUCGAAGAAUAUAACUGUGAAUUGGAACAUCAUAUUUUCUUUCCACAGGCUAAUGCUUGCUUCUUUCAGCUGCUAGAUUCAACUUUACAUUAGCUGAAGAUUUGAAGGAAGCCGCAUCUGAUGAAAAAGUGAAGUCAGAACUUGGCACAAAGAUUAGCAGAGAACGUAUUGGUCAUGAGGUUGGAUGCCUACACUACUUACCGCUAAUUGCUGUUUGCUCUUUUUUUUACUGCUUUACUGUAUAACCAAGCUUUUAGUCAUUCUUGAUGAACUUAGUAAUGUAGCAUGCAAAACCCUUGGUCAUCAAUUUCUUUCUUUGUAUAUUUGCAGAUUGAUCUCAUGAUGUCAGACAAACACCCUGUUAAAGCAAUGUGUGACAUCCGUGAUUUGGGGCUAUUUUACGUUGUCUUUUCUUUCCCGGUGAACUCCAACCCUCCAGUUUUUGACAAAUGUGAUGGGUAUUGUCCUUGUUCUAACAUCCCGUACCCUUUACAUUUUGGAUUCAGGCAACUGUAUGCAGCACAGUUGUAUUUCAAACUACUGUAGCUGAGAAUUGUGAAAUGUAGAAAACACCAUUGUGCAUGGAUUAGCAUCUCUACAUUAGUUCAAUCUCAUCUCUUUUUCUCCUAUGGGUAUACAGGCAGUGUGUUUCGCAUAUUGAAGCAGCUUGGAAUCUUGCAUCUUCUAUUGGCAGCUCUGUGUUCAGCAAUGGUUCUGACACCAAGUUGCAGGUCAGACAUUUUUAGCAUACUUCUUGAUAAAUGACUAUAUGAACACCCAGAAACUCCCUCCCUCUCGAUCAUGUGACUCUGCUUAAAAUGUUUUACAGAGUGAUACUUUAUAACUCCAAUGCAAAUAGAAAACACAAAUCAAUACUAGCAUCUUGUCGAAUUCCUUGCUACUAAUCAGAUACUUAAGCUAUUUACAGAAAAUGUGCACUGAUUGAACUAUUAAGAGAGGCAUAAAUAAAGCUUUCUGCUGUGAUGAGGUUGUCUCUCCAGUUGAGUCUUACAUAUGAUUAAUGAAUUUCCUAUGUUAGGAAGAUUUACUACAAGCUGCGCACUAUGGCUAGCAGGAAAUUAUUUGAUUAUGAUUUGUUCUCUCUUGGCUUCCCUUAACAUUAAGAUGUGUUAUGGUGUUUAGGAUGAGCAGCGAAGGCUUUGCCUGUAUAGUGCAUUAUUCAUUCCCCUACGAAAUAUGUUCUACUUGGACAAAAGAUCUAAGAAGGUAACCUCUAAGUUCCUGCAUCAUCCAUUUUUAAUGCAAGGCUUUGAAUCUUUGAACUGGCAAAAAAAUUGUGUUUGUGUUCACUAAAAUUAUUCACUUAAAAGCAAGUGUGUUGAUGGGUACAUUUACAUUAUUACUUAAUACUAAUUUGCUAUAUUGACUGGUGAGGCAGGUUUAGUGUGACAUGUAUAUUGCCUUUUUCAGUACACUGAUUGAAGUCAGUCAAAUUUAUUUGCUUACAUUCUAAUUUGUUUGAGAGAGUUUAACUGCUCUGAUAAACAUAGAAGUGGGUGCAUUUACUAGCUCAGUUUGCCGAUAUUGUCACUUUGACCAAACCAGUCACAGUUUUGAUAAUUCUUGCUAAUUGGACUUCAGAUAAAGAGCAUCUGCUAUCUUUUGGAUAUCCAGGUUCAUUUUGAUAAUCUGUCCAAUGCACCUCUUGAAGCAUUAUCACCCCUAUGAUCACUUACCUUCUUGGUGGAAAUUACUGUACGUUGUUACUAGUACCACUGCAUGCUUGCUACCUAGCAUCACUCUCGGGGAAGCUCACAUGCAUAGCUUCUCUCCUGUGGAGGGACAAUUUGUAGUUUUAUUUGGUUUCUGGUGUUCAACAAUCAGAUCUUGAUCAGUAUUUAUGUGGGUAAUUUGACUAGAUAGCAUGUUGCACCGUGAAUAUUUUGGUGCUUGUUAUGGCUGCCAGGAAAUGAGAAAAUAAAUCUGGAAUCAACAAAUGAAGCUGCUGUUAAAUAUCCCCACUUUCCUGUUCAUUGCAUUAUUUCUUUCAACUGUGUACUGAAGAGUCUUUUGCAUCAUCACCAGGUUCCUGUUUGUAGCUAUAUUAUUAAAGAGUCACUAAAGUUGAAAGCUAGCGAUGCUGAAGCGGUAUGUUCUGUUGAGAUGCUCCCAACAUCAUUGUUUGUGAUUCUGGUCAGUCUUGUACUGUGACAGCAAAUUAACUUGUUAUAAUGUUGUGUGAUCUUAAAGGUUGUCAACAUACAUGCUGCUAGUGAAAAGUUUGCUGAGUUAAUUCUUCUCCUUGAGUCAAAUGAUGAUGUGGGAACUCUCAAAGAGAAGUUGGAAGAUGAAUAUCUUGAGAUACCUACAGACAGUUUGAAGCGUGUUUUUGCAGGUCAGUAUUCAGCAUUGCAGUUUUCUAAUUUGUUAGAUCCUCUGUACUGGUUUAUCCUUUUGUAAUUUGUUAGUGUUUGGUGUUUGCUUAAUUUGAUUAUUCAAUAUAGUACUCCGUUUGUUACUGUAUCUGUAGUACCUGAGAUACAUGCAAUCUGAUAUCCUUUGUAUACAUUUAAGUUGUUACAGUUGUGCAAAUUCCCUAAUGAUUUAAUCUGAUCCUUUCAGUGUCAUAAGGCUGAUAUUUGGUUUGUUUUAAGUGACAAUUUUUCGACCAAAGCAUGUGACACUAUCAACAUUUCAGGACUGAUACUCCGAGAAAUAAAGGACUUUUGGCGGGUGGCACUGCUUAUAUCCAUUCUGUCCAACCCAGAAGCUGGAAAUGCUGCUGACAACCGCAACAAGCAGGAUGAGCUGCAUCUGAGGAAAGAGAAAUACAUCAGAGUUGAGCGUGCCAUAACUGACCUAGGUAAAGUAGUAUAUGAUGGUCAUGGAAUUUGCACUUCUCCCAUAACUGCAAGCGUGGAGAUUUACUUGUUCAUAUUAUUGCAUAAUAACCAUCCUGGUUUAUUGUUUCCCUUCUCCAGAUCUCGAUGGGGUGUGGAAGUUGAAGCCGGUACUUGACGGCAAAUCCAUUAUGGGAGUUUUGCAGGUCAAGUCAGGCGGUCCACUGAUAGGAAAAUGGGUACACUAUGACUCCACAUCCUUGCAACUGAUCACACUGAUUCUAGAUUCCAAAACAUGUUGACACUAAUACAUGCUGGUUGUUGCAGCAACAACGUGCAUUGAAGUGGCAGCUUGCGCAUCCGAACGGAACCAUGGAUGAGUGCAUCGAGUGGAUGAAGCAGUCACAGCAAUCGAAACGCCAGAAAGUAGAAACGGACGCCUGAUAGUCGAUGGCAUUUUGAGCAUAGGCCGUAGGCAGUAUUCAGAUAGGUAACAAGCUGCAGCUGCGUCACUUUAGCCGCCGCCUGGAUGGAUUUGGCGUCUUCGUAGGAUAACAAGGUGGAUUUUAUGACUAGUUCGCACAAUGAGUUGUCGAUUAUUUUUGUGAAGUCCAUCCUGUGGACCGGGCCGCCCCGGGUGGGCCAUAAUGGUUGGUCAUGCCGGACCAUUUGGCUAUUAGAGGCAAGUUGAGACAUUAUUAGUUUCUGGAAAUAUGCCGUACACAAGGUAAAAAAAAUUGAUAGCAGGUAGAGCUUCUCCAGCAGUAUUUUUCUUACAGAGAAAAAGAAUGCCUCAGUAGUGUUCCAAUACAUCUCCAUUUUCCUAAUAAUUAUGGAUCAUCUUAAUAAUCCACUCUUAACUCCCUCCAACUCCAAAUAAAGGUGGAGUUCCUACUCGUAGUUCCAAUUAACUGCCUGGGGAUGGGAUCCUCUAAAUAAAUGAGUUAGGCUAAUCCCAGUGCAAGUUUCAUACAUAAUAAAUACGGUGACACAUCAGCAUAUGUAAUGGCAUGACAAGGCAAUUAUAAAGUGAGAGGGGAAGGCAAUUAUAAAGUGAGAGGGGGAAAGAGUUUCAACAGGAUAAAAUUGUGUAUGCACGGUUUUCAAGAUGGAAACAUGUUGAAACUUGCAUUAGGGGCUAUAAAGUUUCAUUUCAUCUGACUAUAUCUAAUCAUAUGCCUCGCAAUUAAAUGGUAUGAGCAUACUAUAAAAUCGUGAAAUGAAACUAUGCAUUUGGGAGCAUUGUUUUAAUGUUUCAUUCAUUAACUCAAACCUCUUUCGAUGACAUAUCACCGGGAUGAAACUCUCCGGGGAAUAGUCUUAUUGCUGCCGGCCGUCGUCAUGCAUCACCUACGUCCGUGUCGGCCCUCGGCAGCUAUUAUUUCAACAACCACGCAAGGCAUCAGGUGAUCAGGAUGGUUGUUUUCCUUUCAGUAUUGGGUUGCAUGCCGUGUACUGACACGGACCGGUCCUCCCUCUUCUCAACAAAUAAAAUCGCGCGUCAUUCCACAUCUAUCUCAUCUGCCGCCAAUGCCGCUGCCUUCUCUCGCCAAUCCUCCUCCUCGUCGUCGUCGUCAGAACAAGAUGGCAGCGGAACGGAAGCGCGUCGACGACGACGCUGCUGCUGCUACCGACGAGUCCUCCUAUAACCAGCUGCCCUUGCUCGCCUUCCACCGUUACAAACAGGACAUGUUCACGUUGAGCGUCGCCGAUCAGAUCCUUCACAAGAACCCCGACCACUACGGGCUACGGCCAUCUAUUUCCCGCCACCCAGCUGUACUGGAGCACCCCGGCCGUAGGGCUGGAUGCUCAUCAUGGAAUACCCGCAACCCCACGCCUCGUCCGCGGCCUACCUCUGGAACCCUAGCACGGGCGACGAGCUUCCCUUGUCCAACAUCCCGGAGAACCGUGAUGGCCUGUGCCCGCUCUGGAGGUGCCUCCUCUCCCACAAGGACCCAGCUCAUCAUCCGGGGUGCGUCGUCGUGCUCCUGUGCUCCGGCGAGACCGCCAUGUGGUACUGCGGCGGCCGGUGGAGGCGCUUCUCAUACGAGAUCACCGGUAACUUGGGUUUACCAAUGAAGAUCGGGAUCUCUGCGGUCGCUUCGUGCCAUGGGAAACUCUAUUUCAUGGCACUCCUGCAGACAACGAUGGUGAUCAGCAUCGUCCUGUGUUCCAAUACUUUGAUGAUGAUGUCCCUGACAUCAAAUUCCCCCAUGGUAUGAACUCGGGGAACUGUUGGUUAGUGGAGUCACACGACCAGCUCUUCCUUGUCUACACGUACGUUCUCCGCGGGUGAUGAUGUUAUUGUUGGCGCCGUCCACGCCUACAGGAUGGAUUUAUUGGAGAUGCUGUGGUUUUCUUGGAAUGUUAUUCGAACUUGGCAGCGGCGAGCCCUCUCGGACUCAAACCAAAUCAUUUAUAGCACUUCAUCAACAACUAUAUAUUACAGGGAUGGUAGUGCUUACUUGCUCACUUUCAACUUAGGAUUAGACAUCGUCCUAGAGAAUACAUGGGUUCCCUGUCACAACACGCUUCACUUCCUCAUGCCUUUUUGGAUUGUGCCUCUAAAGAUUUGUUUUGAAGCAAAUAAAGGUGAUAGAUUGUGAUUGUUUUCUUGAAUAGGCUAUAUAAGUUGUGGUGGAGAUAGGUCCUUUAUUGGCAAAACCUGCCAUCAGUUAAUGGAAUUGAGGUUCCUAAAAAACACAUCGCCACUGCUUUUAUGUUAUGGCAAGAUAUGCAGGUUUAAUUAGGUGCAUCAUGUCGAUCGCAAGCCCACUCUGUCCUCUAAUCCAUCUCUAAAUUUGGCGGUUCAUUUUCUUAGGAAGUAAUAAUUUUCUUAAGGCCAAGCAAUACAUCGAUUCCUUAUUUGUUUGAUUCAUUAUGGUUUGAGACAGGCAUAAUUAUAAGAGGCCAAUUAUCUUAUUCUGUUUUGUGAUUUCGUCGUAAAACAAAACAUUAUUAAUGGUCCAAAUCGAAAUUCUAUAAUCGACACUUUCCCAUCGGUUUAAAUUUUAUCAGAUCCAUCUAAAUUCUAACAGUUUGACACUAAACGUUGUUAGUUUUUCUCAAUUGUUUAACUGGCCUGAUAAAAUGUUAAGCCAAAUCUUCUGAAAUGCACAUAAAGUCAGUAAUCAAUUAGCAAUGAGAAUGAGGGGAAAAGGAGAGAGACGGGAGGGGGGGAAAAAACCUUAUCUGAGGCCCGUGGGCCAUUUGCUUUGCUGCUGCCGGGCUGUGCGCAGAAUUAUACCAGCCCACAGGAAACAAGAAGGAAAACCAAAACCACAAUCCCCACACCCCAUUUCUGUUCGCACGGUUCCGCGACGCCGCAUCCAUGGAGAUGGAUGGGGAGGAUGGCCCCGAUCCCUCGUCAGCUCGGUUCCCGCUCCCUCCCCGUUCCUACCCUGAGGUAACUCCCGCCGCUGGUCUUUCCGUGCCGAUCGAGUUUUUCUUUUCUCCGGUGAGCGGUGACUGUGCGUGGCGCUUGGCCAUCGCUGGUUUAAUUGGGGCUCGCUGACCGUCUCAUUCUCUCCGCCCUGCCGCGCGCAGAUGAUCCUGGAGGCGAUCGACGCGCUGCGCGACGACAACGCCUCCAACGAGUGGGCGAUCUCGGGCUACAUCAGGGGCAGGUACGGCGCCGGCCUGCCGCGCAAGCACUUGUCCGUCGUCCGGUCGCACCUCGCCCGCAUGGUUUGCGCCGGCGAGAUCCUCCUGGACAAGAACAAGAACAACUGCUACCGCCGCCACCCAGAUCCCGCUGACCCUGUGAAGCGGGGGCGCAGACGGCGGCGGCGCAAGCCCAAGGGCCCCGGUUCCGAGGUAAUCAUCGGUGCGAUGGUCACCCCCAGUGAAGCUUUCGUCGUCGGCCCCGUCAAGGUUGGGCGACGCGGAAAGGCGCCUGUCGCCGUGGGCACAAGAAGGACGGUCCCUCUCCCAACUUACCCUGAGGUAACCCUGCGAGUUUUUUCUCUGUCAAUUCCUUCUGUGCCACUACCCGGCCGCAUGCAGUCUUUUAUUAAAUACUCCAUGGCCGUGAUCGAGCAGAUGAUCGUGGACGCGAUCCAGGCGCUGGGCAACGAGAAUGGCUCAGACAGUGCGGCGAUCGCCGGCUACAUCGAGGCCAAGUACGGCGCCAAACUCACGCGCAGGCACAGGCACGCCACGUUCGUCAGCGGGGAACUCUCCCUCAUGAAGGCAACUGGCGAGGUCCUCUCCGUUUCCCCCACCCACUAGUCCCCAAGGCGAGGCAUCCGAAAGCCACGUCUGACGGACUGAAGACUGCACUGAAUUUCUGGAACUGGGACAAAGGGAUUUGUCUCCCCAGUCCCCAUCAGUAUGCAAGAAUGAGAUGUUCUUCCUGUUUAAGCUUGCGUGCUUGUUGUAAGUAAACGAGUGGGGUGUUUGGAUCUUUAGUCCGAACUAAAAUUUAUGUCACAUCGAAUAUUCGGAGGUUAACUAGAAGGAUUAAACAUGAGCUAAUUAUAAAACUAAUUACACAGACGGAGGCUAA
RNAcentral lists this long non-coding RNA (56302 nucleotides) under Setaria italica (foxtail millet). RNAcentral describes it as "long non-coding RNA (SITA_LNC005517)". The record is from RNAcentral. Lineage: Eukaryota; Viridiplantae; Streptophyta; Magnoliopsida; Poales; Poaceae.